UUUUUUUUUGUGGGUGAAGGGGAUAUAAUUCCUCUCUAAACAUUUUUAAGUGUAGAAGUACCUUUGCGUGGUCUGUCACAACCAUUGAUCUGUAGAAGGUGUUAGGGUGAAGUGCUCGGAAAUACGAAUCUACAGAGUCCUUUAUAGUUUCGUCUGGAGAGGGUCUAGGGACAUCUCUCACCAACACCGCAAACUCCUCUGGUUUAACAUCUGGUGUUGAUCUUGCAGUCGCUCUCAAAUUUGAAACAUGCUUGUAUGACUUCCACAGGAUAAAAUAGGUGACAAAUGAAACCCAGUAGACUGACAACAGAAAUGCCCACAGCCUCAUACUUUUUGGCUGCAGAGAGUGUAAAAAUAUGCUGAUUUCAGUUCUCUGUGUGAAUAUAUGACGCUCAGGAUACCUAAUGAUAACCUUACCCAGGAUAUCUUAAAAAUAUACUAUUAACAGAAAAGGUUAUCUGUUAUCAAAGUAUUUUUUUUUCAUGUUACAUAAACAUAGUUUUUGGCUAUAGAUGAUCAUAUAACCUUUUCAAUUGAUUUAUAUUUGAGAUAACAAAGGCAAAUCAUAAACUGAUUGCUUACUUGAACAUUGCCCAAUGCUAGUCUUUCCAUCUGUGGGAAGUCUGGAGCUGAGUCGUCUUUGUUAUCAGUUUUUGGCUUGAAGCCAGCAGCAGCAUGAAGGUCCAGGGCAUGAUCAGUUCCGGCAACGGGGAGGAGAACCGGAAGCAGCACAAUCCCAGAGAACACCAAGAUCGACAAUACUGGAACAUCAAGGGUCAAAUACUGUUAAUUGCCUGUACUUGACAUGUUGACCAAAUCCCAACCCCACCAAAAUGCAUCCUAGCUUUAUUUUUAACCACCCUCGACUAAUGAAAAAUAGACUUUUCAAGGACAAUCUGCAGAAUAAACUUAACUACCCUGUAACGUGCAAAGAACAUCAGUUCAGCAAUCCUAUAUACAUCAAGGGCAGCAAACAACCACAAAAAUAUGCUCCUAUUUUUUUUAAAAAAAAUCAACUAUAAAAUUGGUGAAAAGCAACAGAAUUUUUGAAACAAAAGGAGUUUGACGACGCUAUUGGAGCACCUGUCAUAAGACAAUCCACACAAAAGAAAUAACGCGAGAAAAUCUUGCAAAAAAAAGUUUCUUCUGAACAAAUGAAGCACCAAACAAACGCCAACUGCACAUAGCCUACAAAUCAUCUACCUGGGGAGCUGCCAACUAACCGAAAUUAAAGCCCCCCCCCCCCCCCCCCCAACACACACACACACACUGAAGAAAGUGUUUCUAAAAGGGGGAGAAAAACAGAGAAAAAGAACUGAGCAGCAGCCGGGUUGGCCGUACCGGAGGAGAGGAAGACGAGGUAUACGGCGGCGUCGACCCCUCCGGCGGCGAUGACGUCGGUCUCCGACGCGGAGAGGGCCUCGCGGAUCCACCCGACGGGGCUGCGGCUCCCGCGGCGGCGGCCCUCCCACGGGUCGAGCCCCCGCAGCAGGAGGCUCGGGUAGUACACCGGCGCGUUCCCGGGGCGGCGCGACAGCCACGUGAACACCAGCACCAGCACCACGAAGAUGACGAACGACGUCAGCACCGACGUAAUGAACGACGCGAAGUCCAUCUCGCCGCCGCCCCCUGCUCCUGCUCUGCUGUUUCUUGAAGCGGCUCUGCUCCCCGGGAUUUAAACCCCGGAGAUUGCGCUUAGCGGCGGGAUCCGGAAGGGGUUUAGUGGUGGCGGGCGUGAUUAUUGACGCGCAUUAGGGUGGAAUUAAGGAGGGAGGGAGGCGGCGAGGGAAAGCAUUGGAUGCUCCGUGGUGCCGUGGUGGUGAGCCGUGGAGGAGCUGGCAAAGCGCAAGGAGAGAGGAAGAGGAAGGGGCAAGGGGGAGUUGAGCGAAAUGUCCGGAUUGCCCCUGGAGAGUGAAGGCCUCUUUUCUCGAGUUCAAAGCUUGCUGGCGGUUUUUUUUUUCGUUGAGUUUUUUUUAAAGAGAAAGUUGUUGUUGUCUUUACAAAGGAGCUGGGAUCCUCCUUUUGACUUCUUAUUAAUCCAGUGACCAUUUUAUCCCUCCUUUGGGAAGCCAAAAGGUCCAUAUUUCAAUUAUUAAGAAAAGUUUGUUACAAUUAUUUCAUAUUUUGCGAAGUAACAUUUGAAUCACACGAAAUCCUUUAUUUCCAAGCUUAAAUCUUUGUUUUAGUAGAACACAUGAUGAUGGGAAGUUUUUUGUCGGCCUAUAAUUCCUCGCUUAAACCGGCCUACGAGAUUUGCUACUCCGUACAUUCGUAACGCUAAAAACAACGCAACAAAGCAUUGGUGUUGCAGCCGUUUCUCCUAUCAAGCCUUUGUGUGAUUAUUAAAAGGUUCUUUCAAACAAUUCGGCUCCAUUUCAAUACUUCCGUCACAAACGUUUUCCUUAUCGUUUCAAAAAAGAAAAUGUUUUCCUUGCAAAUAUCAUCAAGCUAAGCUAGUUUUUCUCCCAAUUCUGCUGACUCGUGGCUUUACCAAUGCAGCAAUCCUGCACUACUGCUGUGCCCUCUUGUCUUUGUCGUGAACAAAAAAGAUUAUGAGAUGUUUUCUGUUUAAAAAGCUAGGAGCUGUCGCGUUCGCUCGGGGCCAAGCUUGGCGUCAGAAAAGAAUGCGAGAACCAGCAGCCGCGGGGCAGAAGACUCCUAGGCCGCAACGCACCGGCCCACGUGGCGCCGCGCCGGGCGGCACGCGCCGCGCAGGAGUGCAGGGGCAGCCUGCCGCCGGUGGGCCCCGCCGGCCGACACCCGAGGACCCCGCGGGGGCAUUUCCGUCCACCGAUCUUCCUUCCGGGCAGAAAGAUCGGCCACGCCUAGGGGAGUGGAUAAGGCGCUGCCGUGUGGGCCAGGGCCGCUUUCGCUUUCGCCAGACGGCCACGUGGAGGGGGCGGACGCGCCCCGCUUGCCGACACCCCACGCGUCUCUGCGCUGGCCGCCUGGCCGUCUCUCCCUCCGGUUACCACGGCCGACGACGACGAGGGCGAAGCGGUUUCCACGCUGCGGAGCAGCGCUGUGGCCGCGGCCGAGCCCACGCCGGAUGCUUUGCCAGGUGUGUGUGACCGGUGACCGCGCAGCGGACGCGCGCGCCGCCGUCGGCCGUCGCCGUCGAUGGGGAUGGCGUCGUGGAGCCGAGGCAAACGUGACAUGCUUCGGAUCCUUUUGUCAACUUGUGCUGCUAUCGUUUUCGUGUCAUCACCACUGUGUUCUUCGUGGAAAAAAAAACAGACAGGUCUGAGAGAUCUACGUGCUGAUUUGUCCACGAGCAAGAUGCCAGUAGGAUUUAGGUUACAUUUUUUAUUUUGCUCCUAGUUUGAAGUACAAUUGUAUUUUUAUUUUUUUAACUUUGUGAUUUUACCCUUGCCUCAACUAUUCACAAGUUAUUGUGAUUUUACCCUUGAUCUUUGUGUAUUUGUCCCUGUUUUAACCGUUGACUAGGGGUAAAAUCGUAUUGACUUAUCAAUGGUCGAGGGGAAAAAAAGUUUUUUUGUUGUUUGAUAUUGUGAAUGAACGAAAAUAUUCCACAAGAGAACACCAUGAAUGGUAAAAAAAAUAGUGCAUAUGCUCUUUAAUAGUUCAAUGGCUUUUUCAUACUUUUGUGAAUUAUACCAUAAUUAAGACCGUCUUGCAGAGCUGUACGUGCUAGGUUUUUUGUUUUUUUUGUACAAGCAGAAUAUGCCGUGGUGUUUGGUGCCACUACAUCUGAGACAGCAUCACCAGAGGAGCUAAGCCAGUGCUCUCCCCAGACGGUUUAUAUACGAAAAGGAAUAAACACUUCAUAAUCUACUAGAGAAGAAAAGUAGAGAGUGGAGAGAGAACGCAUCAUGGGCUUGUCAAGAUAUUUUUUAGAUAAAAAAAAUGAUGGGCUUGUCUGUCAAGGUAAAUUAAACUAAAAUGCGAUCUUAUUAAACCUAAUGCUAUUUCCAUUCCACACUGCCUGCCAAAUAAAUCCCUUCGCCAGUGGCUUGUACACUGACACGUUCCACGUCCCACUGGUCGCCACGUGGCGCACCCCGCCCCGAGAUGUUCCCAUCCGUGGCAGUUGCCAGUUGGGGGCUGGCCGUGAAAAUAGCCGGCCGGAUUUAAGGCCUGGUUUAGUGUCCAACUUUGGGGUGUCCAAAAUACUGUAGCAACACUGUAGUGUUUCGUUUGUAUUUGUAAAUUAUUGUCCAAAUAUUGACUAAUUAGACUCAAAAGAUUCGUCUCGCAAAGUACAACAAAACUGUGCAAUUAGUUUUUAAUUUCGUCUACAUUCAGUACUCCAUACAUGUACCGCAAGUUUGAUGUGAUGGAGAAUCUUCUUUUUGCACAGUGUCAAAGUUGGGAUUUUAGAGUGAACUAAACAUGGCCUAAAAGAGGGUUGAUCGAUCACCAGCAAUUCGAUGGGUACGAGCGGCAUCAGCCUUUUGUUUGCCCAGUAGGAUAUGAUAGCUGCUUCUUCAACGCAACCGCAGGAUCACAAGCACUCGAGCACGUUGCUGAUGGGCAAACAGAUGAGUGAACAGCAAGUAGUACUAAACAAAACAGUCUCCUUGCAGCUAGAGAAUGUUUGCAGAAUCCGGAUGAAUCGAUUUUUUUUUUCCCGAAAGACAAAUCCGCAUGAAUCGUAAAUAACGUGGACGGUUUAGUGCUGAUGGUACCUUCGAUUUGGUCAUGAUAUCGACAAAUGUGAAAACCGCUCCAACACAUUCUGCAUUGUAUAUUUGUAUGUGAAUGUCUGUGCAACCUGCAGUGUAGGCACUUGGGUUCAUUGAUCAGCAACAGUCAGCUACACAAAAUUGGUUAGAAUUCAUACCCGUUAGCAUGGGAAUAUUUGAACAUGCAUGUGUUGAAUUCAGUUGGCCAUACACAAGGAACAGAUAUACCAAAAUUAUUUGUUGUUUGGUGUUUGAGCUAGCUUAGCUAUGCCUCCUGAGAGAUAUUUUCCUUGCUUCGUCCUUAUCAACAAAGCAAAGCAGUUAAGCAGUGCUAAUGAUCCUCAACUCUCCUUUCAUGCAAGUUGGCCAGUUGCAUCGGGAGAAGAUUUUAUGGAGAAUAAAGCAAGCUAAUAAGGCAGCAGAUGACAAUAAUUAAUCGUGUCCUGCUAGCUUUCAUAUGUAGGGACGGCGUGCCUAUCACAUCUCAAGAUUAUUGUGCUUUGCUACAUAAACCAACCAUUCCUUUUUCUUCUAUAUUGUACACUUACUAUAACGUGACACCAUGUCGUUUUCUUCAGCCAUUUUUUCUUUAAAAAAAAACAGAAAAGCAGUAUAAUGUUGUUGUUUCAAGUGGCUCAGACAUAACAAUGCAUUCGUGUGGAAUCUCAAAUACAAAAUACAAAUAAGGCACAUGCUAGCAAGUUAGUUAGGGGAUGUAUGAUGAAUAAAGACGACACUGUCUAAUAGACAAGUAAUGCCUCUUGAUUUGAGGGCCACUCAUUGCGCAAAAAAAAUCGUUGGAAAUUAAUGUGUGUAGGCCUGGCCCCACACCUCUACGAGGGAAGGGACAAUAAUUUUGUUUGAUCUUUAUCUGCCUUUGCCAUUCUUUGCUUGUAAAUAAUUCGUUCUUCCUUUACAUGCUCACACUUAGCAGUGCACAAGUAUGUGCGCUGUGUGCAAGGUCAAAGAGGUAAAGAACGAUAACUGAUCAAGUAUGUACGCACACGGAUAAAAGAAGGAAACACCCACUGCAAGAAUUGCAGCUCAAAACAUGGUGUGCGAUCGACUCCUUAAGCCACGCACUGGACGUUCAUACUAGACGCCGAUCCAGUCUAAAUUACCAGCUCAAAAUCCAGAUAAGGUUUUUUUUCUCUUCCGAUUUUGAAACACAGAUAUUGCAACUACGCACCACCGGCCGAGUGCCUAAUGGACAUUUUCUUGAUGAAGUGGCCCAUUGGGCCAUGUGACGACCAACAAGCCCAGUAAUCGCGAGCGUGCUAUAUCUUUUUGUCGUGGCCCGCAAAGGAGGAGGAGUUCCAGCGUGGCCUGGUUGGCGUAACAGUAACACACCAGAGGUGCAUGCGUUCCUAUCCCUACGAGCUGUGUUCGAAAGAUUGAGCCGACAGUCUGGGACAGCAAUAUUUUCACACGGUAUCUAAUUUUGUCACCAAAACACUCUCUUUUUCUGUCAAACAUUUAAUCACAUGCAACAUUUUACACGGGGCACGUAAUGUUUAGGGCCAGUUUGGCAGGGCUCCGGCUCCGGCUCCGUGUGCUUACCGAAGCACGGAGGAGCCGGAGCCGCAUCAAACGGCAUUGACCGCGGAGCCAUUUUUUGGCACAUUUGGGAGGAGCCGGAGCCGUUUUAGGUCUGCAUGGAGGAGCCCAAAAAAGUAGCUCCACGGCUCCGGCUCCGGCUCCACACGAGGAGCCCCUCGCGAGGAGCCCUGCCAAACUAGCCCUGUGACAAAAUGUGUUGCCAUUACCAUCCUUCUUGCAAUGUAAUGUAUCCAUUUUUUUCAAUGGAAAGCAUUGUCUCAUGCAAAAUGCCAAACUGGUCACAACUACAAUAGCUACGAGAGUGCAGUCUACUGGGCGUGACAGCAGGGGUGCGUGAUUUUGUUAGAUUUAACUUAAUCCAGGCAUAAACAUGUCAUUAACUUACUGACAUGCCUAAUCAUGACCACUAAUCAAAUUAGUACGGAGACUUAGAAAAAGGAAAACUUUUAAUCGCCAUGGAUGCUUCUAUUGUGGUAGUAGCAAGGUUGUAGAUGAAGUAGAACUUAAUCUUCACCGGAUCGGGAGCCUUUUACUCCUAGUUGAUGGAGAACUUACCUAGAUGCAAUUCACCCUCUCAAGAAGAGGUGUUCUGUUCUUGAUCUGGUGAACAACAUAUGAAGGUAGUAGAUGAAUCUUUUUUUUUGAAAGAAACAGGAGGGGCUAGCCCUACUGAAAUAUAUUAAAAAGAAGGUCUGAAAAGGUUACAAAGCAAACAACACCAAAACAGAAACAAGUGAAAAAGAAUAAACAAAGUACAAGAAGGAAAAUCAGAGGGAGUGGAUCCAAUCUAAGCAUUCCUGACUUAAAACAGAGUUCAUCCUGUGCGAGGCUACCAACGAGAGCUCAGAUAGAAAUUUAGAUCGAGUUCCUGAAAUCAACGGAUCCACAUUGUUAAAUGUCCAGUCGUUCCUUGUAGUCCAAAUACUCCAAGACAUGAGGAUGAUGAUUUCCAUGAAGAAGGAGGUGUUCAAAUGUCUUCUAAUCUGAUUGAAGAUAUGAACUGACGAUCUUGUGGAUACAAAGGAAAUCCCAAUCGAAUUCCAACAAGCUUUUGCAAAAUUGCAUCUUAGAAAUAGAUGUGCCACCGUCUCCCUUUUUUGGCGGAUACACAUUUCGCAGACGUUGGAAUCCAAAUGCAUCCCCCUUCUCUGUAGAACAUCUUUUGUGUUUAGCCUGUCUAUAAUCAGAAGCCAGAAGAAUACUUUGUGCUUUUUCUGACAUUUCGAUUUCCAUAGCCAGCGAUGGAUUGGGUGUGUUUCCCUUUAUCCUGUUAAGGCCUUGUAUGCUUUACUGACCGAGAAGGUUGAGGAUCCCCAGAUAUAAGACCAAAUAUCAGUAUCAUUCUGAGAGACUAUAUUAUGCAUAAAUUCCUGAAGCAUAAGAAAUUCCGAAUGAGCUUCUGUGGAUAAAGGCAAGUGAAACAACAAACUGAGAUCUGUCGUGCUUAUCGCUUUGUGAUACGAGAUGUUUUUGUUCCGUGCAAAAGAAAAGAGGUGGGGAAGCCCAGAUUGCAGGAAGUGAUCAUUCCAUGAGUCUUGCCAAAGCAGAACAGUGCUUCCAUCCGCAACCCGAGCAGAUGCAAAUCCCUUGUAUUUAUGUAACAAGUUGAUGAUAUCCUUCCACCAGAAGGAGCCCUUCUUCUGGACACCCGGGAGGGUACCAUUGCUGUACAAUUUAUCCCAUAUCAAGUGUACCCAAGGUAGAUCAACCUUGGAGAAAAAAUUGUGUAAGAACUUUAAUAAAAGAGCCUCAUUCUGUGUAAUUAUGUUGAGCACCCCUAAUCCCCCUUGACUUUUGGGCAAGCAUACUAAAGGCCAAGCUGCUUUGGAUGGUUUGGUAGAUGUUAGAUCUGAGCCUCUCCAGAGGCAAUGUUUUCGGAAUUUAUCAAUCUGAUGGAUAACCCCUUUAGGUAGUUUCAAAGUGGCCAUCUGAAACAUAGCUGAUGAUGUUAACACAGAGUUCACCAACUGUAACUUUCCUCCUUGUGAAAGCAUAGAUGAUAUUCCACCUAAUUUCCCUUCUAUUCUCUUGAUCAAAGGGAGGAAGUCUUGCAUAUUAGGUUUACGUAACCCCAGAGGUAAUCCCAGAUAGGUGAAAGGGAAUGUACCUGUUUGACAGUUUAGAAUACCAGCCAAAAGGUCAAGCUUGUCCUGCUGAGUGUUUAUGGGGACCAUCAUGGAUUUGUUGUAAUUUACUUUUAACCCAGUAGACUCUGCAAAAGUAUCCAGAAGGCUCUUUAAGUGUAUUAACUGACUCUGGUCAGCCUCCAUGAAGAGUAAAGUGUCAUCUGCAUACUGAACAAUUGGGAAGUCAUUACUGGCUCUCAAGGGAAUUGGAAGGGAAAUGUGUCCUUCCUCCUUAGACUUGUUAAUUAUGGAUUGGAGCAAGUCAGCAGCAAGCACACAAAGAAGAGGUGAUAGUGGGUCCCCCUGCCGUACCCCUCUUUUGCAGUGAAAUGUUUUACCUGGGACACCAUUCAGAAGCACUGACGAUGUGCCUGAUCUGAGAAUGGUCUUAAUCCAUCCUAUCCAUUUCUCCCCAAAGCCUUUAUGUUUCAGGAUCUCUAAGAUUGCCUUAUGCUCAAUACGAUCAAAAGACUUUUCAAAGUUCAAUUUGAGUAUGAUGAUGUCCUUCUUUGAAGAUUUGCAACAGUGCAAAAAUUCUAGAGCCCAAGCCAAGCAGUCCUGAAUGGUCCUAGAUUUGAUAAAUCCAUAUUGAUUCUGAUGAAUGAGAUUAGGGAUGACCUUUUGUAACCUCAACGCUAAAAUUUUUGUAAUGAGCUUUAUUGAUGAGUUUAGCAGGGAUAUUGGCCUGUAAUCAUUCACAUGCAAAGGGCCAGCUUUUUUUGGGAUAAGAGUAAUGAAAGAGGAGUUGAUGCUGCGCACACAAACUUCCCCAUUAUGGAAACCUUCACAUAAAGCAUAAAAAUCUUCAGCAAACUCAUGCCAGCAUCGUUUGAGGAAUUCUCCAUUAAAACCAUCAGGACCUGGAGAUUUAUUUGUGGGUAGAUCCUUGAUGAUACCAUCAAUUUCUUCUUUGGAGAAAGGCUCCUCUAAAUCCUGUAGACCCUCUGAUGGAAAUAGAGUAGCACUUAGAUCUAUAUACAUGUGAUGGUAGUCCGACCUGCCCAUUCUAUUUUUGUAUUCCGCCCAAAUGAGGUUUGCCUUAUCUUCAUGGUCUUUGACAUUCUGUCCAUUCUGAUCUUGCAGCGUCGAAAUGUGGUUAAUCUUGUUUCUUAUGGAAGCCUUUGCAUGAAAGAACCUUGUACUCUCAUCACCCAUUUUGGCCCAGUUGACAGAACAUCUUUGCUGCCCGUAGGUUUUCUGUUGCUGUAAAAGAUUUUUGAGAUGAUUCAUGAUAAUAUCUCUUAAAUUCCAUUCUUGCAGAGAUAGAUCUUUAGAUUCUUCCAGAAUAUCUAGGAAAAGAAUGACCUCCUUUGUAUUUUGGAUAGUUUUUGCUAGUCUUGGUAACCCUGCUUUCCAUAUUCUGAGUUCUCUUCUCAAAUUUUUGAAUUUUGCACCAAUGAUUUUAGCUGUGUCAGAGGAGGAAACCGGAGAAGUCCAGACGUUAUGCAGAAUGUCAUUGAAUUGUUCAUGAUGCAUCCAAUAGUUUUCAAAUCUGAAAACUUGAGAAGAAGGCAUUAGAUUUGAUAUGGAAAUGACACAUGGAUUGUGAUCAGAGGAGUCUCUUGACAGAGUUGUUGCCCAUGUGUUUGGAUAGACUGAAAUCCAGGCAGAAGAUGAGAAGAACCAAUCCAACCUCUCUAGUAACGGGUUAUUCUGUUUAUUUGUACAAGUGUAUUUUCCUCAUUUGAGUUGAAUCUCUGUUAGUCCUAACCUGCUGAUUGCUUCAUUGAACAGCAUCAUUUCUUGGGGAUGACCUCCAGGUUUAUUUCUGUCUGAAGGUCGUCUUAUCAGGUUAAAAUCCUCUACGACUAGCCAUUUUUCAUCAUCCAGCAUCCUAAUUCGCUUGAACCAAUCCAGAAAUUCUAUUUUACCUUCUGGGGUGCAUGGGGCGUAGAUGUUGGUUAGGAUCCAUGUUUCCCCUGACAUCUUACACUGUAACUCCACGGAGUGAGCAAAACUAUUUUGGAAAAUUGGCUGUCCCUGAAACUUAUUAGCAUUCCAUAUCAUAAUAGCUCCUCCUGAAUUGCCGAUAGACGGUAUGAAAUCGAAAAGGGUGAAAGCAGGGGGACAGAAAUUUCUGAGAUACGUGUCUGUGAAAACUUCCCUUUUGGUUUCUUGCAAACAUACGAUGUCUGCAUUAGAUUCCACUAUUUUACUUCUAACCGCAUUCCAUAUGACCGAUGAAUUAAUUCCUCUCACGUUCCAAGAUAGGAUAUUCCAAAUACAUUUACGACUCAUAAUCAAUAAAGAGAGAACAUCGUUUCCAAGGGCCCCUUAAUCCAAAGGGGAUAGAGAACCAGACCGAAAAAACCUUCAGAAUCCAGAAAGAACGAUCCAAGACAACUGAUAAGCUAAUCCCAAGAAUUGAAGCAACAAGCAAGAAUACCAUAGAAACGAAACCAACGUUCCAGCAAAAGAUCCCCCUAGUCAAUGACAGAUUAUAGUUUGUGACUGCCAUAAGAAAAAACUUGCAAUAAUACAUGUUUGCCGACAGACAGGAACUAGAAACAACAUCCAGAAAUCAUUCAGCUUCCGGAGUUCGGUCCUUGAGGCUUGGUCUUCUUGGCCUUCUUCAGCGUCUCCUGGGAAGAUGAAUUUCCUUCGAUUCCUACCACCUUCAUGGGGUUGGUCUUGGCUGACAAACUAGCAGAGGAGAUUUUUGACGAAUCAAUGUUGCAUACCUUUUCUCCCAGCCCCUGGAUGUGCGCUGAGGAUAGGGUGGGGGCUUUCGAGUGGCAGGCCAAGCAACAGCUGUCUUGACAGGUAGCAACACGAAAGCCUUCAUUUCUUGCCUUGAUUCUGCUACUCCUCCUAACAGAAGAUUCACACUCCGGAGCCACCGAACUCCCAAGUCUUGCCCUUGCUUUCUUCAGUGUGGGUGUCUUAGCAACCUUCUCAACGGAGGAAGUUGAAGAGAUACCACCCUCUUCCUCUUGACUGAUGCAAGGCAAGGGGCUGGUUCUGGGACAAACUGGGGGAAUGUUGAAGGCCAUCAUCGACGGGUUGUCCACACAGUUGAGCAUGAAGUUCCAAGCAGAGGAGGCAAGAAAUUUUUUGGCCCAAUCAAAGUGCUGAGGUGAGAGCAGCAUAUUGAUGAAGAAGGAGGCCCAAUCAGCUGGAAUGUAUGUGACUUGUUCAGGGCAGCCUGCUGGAAAAAAGUGCUGGGCCCAAAGUCUAAAGAUGUUGGGGUUCUGAAUAGCACCAGAUGUCUUUGGGUUUGACUCCGAAGUGGGGGAGAGCGUCUCUGGAAGAACCACACAUUUGUUGGUCUUUUGUGCCAGCACUGGGUCCCUAUGCCACUGGGAGUCUGGUAACAGCGCGAGAUUAACAUUGAUGUUCCCCAUGGGCUGGUCAUUUGCUAUCUGGUUGGCAGCUAUGAUCUGAACCUGCUGGUUGUUGGCAGGCAGCCCAAGAACAAUCUCCGGAUGGAUCAAGGGUCCAUCCUGCAUGGCAGCCUGCUGUGCAUGAAUAUCCAUAUACUGACCCAUUGGGGGGAUCGGCACUUGCUCAUGAAGUUGAUCAACUUGAUUGAAAGCAAUUGCCUGAGAGAUCCCUCCCGUGUAAAUAACUAUUGGGAGUGGGUCAUUGCUCAGAUCAGAAGAGCUCGAGGAAGGUGGUGGUGGUGAUAAGUUAAGAUCCAGGUCCAAAAUGACCUAGGGUUCCUCUUCUUCCUCAUGGAGUGCCUGGGCCUCCUCAAUAAGUAUGUCCAGGAAGUCUUCCUCAUUCAUUCCUUCCUCUUCUUCCUCUUGUUCAUUAGCCAUGUUGUCCUGAGCUGGGUUGCCAUUCAAAUCCGGGAGCUGACCCCCAGGACCAUCCAGAUCUAUAUUGUGGUUAUGUGGUUGGUUUUGUUGCUGCUGAUCAUUUAACUGAAAACCUGGGAAGACGAAUUCCCCAUCUGGUCCUCCUGGUGGUAUGUCCUCAUCCUGCAAUUGGGCCCCCAGCAUGUUCUGUUGUAAAAUUUCACACUGAACAGUAUAUGAAACACCCUCAAAGUCAUCUCCUUCUGACAGAAUGAGAUAAUGUGGGAUAUCCACAAGAUCUGUGACCCGUGCCUUUAUAAUAACUCUAGCCAGAACAUCAUCUUUCUGCCAAAGAAUAAUCCUGCCAAAAGAUCUGAUGGAAUCCUCGAUUUCAUGAGAGGAGCGGCUGUCAAUAGGAAACCCAAUAAGCAUAAGCCAACAUUCUUUGUUAAAGUUGACCCUACGGGCAUUGGAUGCACGAUUGUGUUGUACAAAAGUGAAGCUAAGACCAUUGUGGAAAAGGGGGCUUCUAGCAAUGAGAGCAUCUCUGUCCGAUGGCCUACCCAUUCUAACAAAAGCUUCACCUCUACCAAAAGGGCAUCUCUGAACUUCUCUUCCAAUCCAUUCAGUGUCUAAAUUGAGUAGUGUUUUAGACUAAUGAUGAGAUUAGAUUGGUUGAACAGGGUAUCCCUCAAACUCAUAUGUAGUACCGUGGGAUCGGAACCGGGUAUAAAGUAGGUGUACCUGACGAUCAUGGUAGGGUGGAGACUUAGAGUAACUCCAAAACUUAAAAUUGCCUCAAAAUCUUAUUUUAGAAAAAAUAAAAAAACUUCCGCGGUUCCUGGCGGUCCAGUCGCCGGAACUCGUCGGAGGUGGGUCAGUGGCGGAGCUUGGGAGGUCUAGAGACACAGGCACGACGAAGAGCGCCGACCACCUGUGGGCGAAGGCGGCCGAGUUGGAGCCGAACUUCACUGGGUACAAGCCUCGGCUCGUCGAGAGGAGGGCGCAGGCCGCCGCCGAGGUUGCCGGUGGCCGCGCCGAGGACGCUGAGGAGGAGUGCCGUGGCGGGGACGAUGCGGUGGCCGGGAGGGGCCGGAGGUACGAGGAGUACGUGAGGAGGAGGGACGAGCACCUGCGCUAGGAGUGGUGCACGCGCAUGGAGCGUAUGGAGGUGGAGAUGCAGGUGCUCUGGGCGCGCCUCGACCACGCCAGCUCACGCGGCUGCUAGUAGCAACGUCGGAGAGGUAACCCCUCGCGUGGUUCCCCGAACCCCGACGCUUUCGCUUCCUUGCUUGCAGUUGCAGCUGACAUCGUCGGCGACGUUGCUAUGAAGCGGUCAGGGUGAUGGGUGGAACUGAACUGAGUUCAGUAUUUUGGCUACGAAACUCACCAUAUCAACUCGAAUUUUCUCCGGAUUCUACAGUGCAACGUUGCAAUCAGUCAAAGCUGCUGGAGCCCAACAGAGGGGUCCACGUGCUGAUGUGGUCAGUUUUGAAGUAUUGAGGAGUUUAUUAUUAGGAAUCUACUGUGGGAUGACAUAAUUUUGGGAGAAUAAAUUUUUAGUAGAGCCCUCAAUAGAUAAUUUUAGGAGAUAUUUUUUGGUAAACUCUUGAAGUUGCUCUUAUGCACCAAGAUGAUUGGAUAAAAAAAUCCAACAAUUUUCAUUCCUUGGCGUUUAAUAAAUUACCUGACAGGAUACCAGACUAGCAGCGGUGUGCUGGACCGAGCUCAGCCAUGCGCCAUGCCUGUGUGGGCGCGCCGGCUCAGGACCCAGGUUACUCGAGCCACGGCCCGCGGUUGCUUUUGUGCUGGGAUAAAACAAAGGGAAUAGCAGAGGCAAAGCACCUGACCAUCCCCCUCGCCAAGAAAGAAGCCAGACGAACGCAAAUUAAACCCUAGCCGCCGGCGCACGUCUCGCCCCCCACGCCGUCCUCCCUCAGAUCCGGCCGAUCCGUCGGCACCAUGGCGCUGCGUUCUCUCGUCGGCAAGCUGAGGAUCCCCCCUGCUUUGGUGGCGGCCUCUCGCGCCUUCUCCCACAAGGUUCGUCCGCAGUCUCCCCCUCUCGGUUGUAAUCAUCGUCUCGCACGACGUGUCUGCUGUUCUGCGUGAGUCAAUCAUUAAUUCAUCAAUCUCAUGUUUGAAUCACCGUCCUGUGGAAUCAGGCCAAAGAUCUAUUUUUUUGGUUUGCCUGGUACCAAUUUUCUCUAUUCCUUACGGCUUGUCUGGCUGGGUGGGGAUUCGCCUCAAUUCCUCUCGGCUGGGGAUGUCAUAUUCGAAAUCUCCUAUUCCAGUAAUUUAAUUCGCCAUACUGUUACAAACUUACACUUGAAUCAGUCGAACCCUAGGACAAACCUACUAAAGAUUAUGGUGUAUGCGUAAUCCUCCUUCAAGUGCAUGAUCGUCUGAUACUUUCGCAUACUGCUUUGGUGAUACUUUGUUGCAUUUGUACUUGUAUUAUUGUUAAUAUUUCAAACUGGAUUCUUAGUUUAGAAGAAGAGGCAUUUCUUCAACACAUUAAUGCAGAUAUUGGUGUAUAUUCAUAGCUAGAUUUGAUUUAAUGCCCUGCAGCAUUAUUUUUUUUAAAAAAAUGUGUUCCUGAUACUAAAUGUGUCCUGGCCUAUAUACACCUUUUUAGUGUGUAGGAGCAAAGAUUGUGGUUUUUUUUACUCUUUCAGCAAGAACCACGCAUUUCAAGUGUAUUGUGGCGAAUUUGUGUGUUUUUUUUUGCAAAAUCCCAGAUGUUAUGUGCUAUCGUUAAUUCUUUGAUAAUGGAGCAUUCUAGUGCAUCAAGCUAUUUUCCAGCACUUCUCCAUGAGUUCGGUACCUCAAAGUUUGGGUUUUGUCCUCAGUAGAAAAUUAGAAAAUAUAAAUGCACACUUAGUCUAGCGAUGAGAUCUUUUGGUCAAAUAGAAAAGAAUCUGUCAAGUUCGGUAGAAUAGGAGAUGAAACUAUGCUGCAGAUACGCAUGCACAGCGCUAUGCCGCUUUCUACUAUUUAUUCAUCAAAGGUGAAAGGGCAGAACAAACUAAAGAUGCUAUUAUCAAUCCUAUUUCUACAUGCACAUGCAUGUCAUGACUCAGCUACUUGUGAAACUUUCCCAUGUGAAUGCCUUGCAUUUUUGCUGACCACACAAGGUACUGCAGAGUGUGAAUCAACAGUGCUGUCUUUCAUUUCUUUUGCCAGUGUUUACUUGUGAAAUAGCUAGCACCUGAUGCAUAUAAUGGCUUAAAUUGCGCAUGCAAGUUUAGUUGGGCUGCAAUACAGGCUAGCAUGGAUUCAUUAUAGGGUAGGUUCAAGUACACAAUGAGAAUGAAUGCAACUGAUCUUCUCUUUACCUAUCGCUUUGUAGUGUGAGCACUGCGGCAAAACAUCUUCAAGGAUUGGAGCCAAAGAUGAUUUGAGGUACAAGCCCCAUGGUUCUUAUAUCCUUGUUCUUCGAAGUCAACAUAAAAUUAGCAUGCAUCCAUGCCUUCUCUUUGACCCUUUCUUUUUUCUGAAUGCUUGACAGCGAGGAACUCAAGAGGUUCAAAAGGAAGCACUACAUGAUUAGAAUCGGAUCUGGUGUUGCUGCUUUUAGCAUUCUGGGAAUAAGUGGGAAAUACACUCUUUAUUUACUUGAAACUGGUCAACUACCAAAGGUUCGCAGAAGGAAAUGAGUUUUGACUACCUCAGCCUAUUUAAGUACCCUGUAGUAUUGUGUUAAAGCACUCUAGGAGAGUAUGCUCUCAGACAAUUUGUUCACUGCAUGCUGUGUUAUGAAGGUGGAAACUAUAAGACUAAUGAUGUGCCAUGCUGAAUCAGUUGUGAGACUCGCUGCUUGGUGCUCUUGUAAAAUUUAUCCCUGGAUCUAUAUGGAACUAUGAAAGCAUGGUUGUGGUUAAUGGCGACUUGUUUUCUUUCCGUAGAAGCAGCGUGUAACAUGUUUGAAGGCAUAUUUGUCUGUUCAUCCAAAUGGGCAAGUUAGAUUAGGAGUGUGCAGUUUGUUGUGAUAUUUGUGAUGUCAUGGCAGAGAAUCCAGACUAAUAAUGUUGCUGGAUCUGUGUAACACCCAAAAUUUGAAUAAUUUAAAUUCAUUAAAAUUUGCUCAAAUUAAGGUGUCAUUUAAAUUUUAGGCAUUUAAUUUCAUUUUCUAUAAUUAAAUUAAUUCAUCAUAGGAAUUAUUUGUGCAUUCAUGCUGGUGCAUUUAUUUUGAUUGCUUGAGUUUGAUUCAAAUUUUGAAUUUCCAAAUUUAAAUUCAAAUUCCAAAACCAUUUUUCCUUUUCUCUUUCUUUUUCUUUUUCUUCUUCUCUACCUGGGCCGCAUCCCUCCUUUCUCUCCCUUUCUUCUUCUCCUUUCGGCCCGCUCCCCCUCCUCUUUUCCUUCUGCGCCCGCGCGGCCCGUCGCUCCGUCCCCGCGGCCCAGCACCCCGCCUCCUCCUUUGCUCGGCCUACUCCUCCGUCCGCUCCUCCACGCGGCCCGCGCACCGCGCGCCGGCCCAUCGCUCCGCCCCGGCUCGCCGCUCGCCCGCGCCUCGCGGCCCACGAGCGCGCCGGCCCGCGACACCGCUCCAGCCUGCCUCCGCCCGCAUCCGCUGACGGGUGGGCCCCACCCGCCUUCUUCCUCCUCCGGCCGAAUCCGGCCUGGACUCCGCAACCGCCGCGCGCCUUCUCCGCCUCGAUCUCCACCUCCGCUCCGACUCCCGGGGGUUUAAACCUGCGCCGCCUCUAUCUCUAGCGCCUAUAAAAGCCGCCGCCCCCUCCCGGUCUCCUCCACCAGCACCCGCGCCCCAAACCCUAGCCGCCACGAGCUCCUAGCGCCGCUGCCUCUUCCCCGCCGUCGUUCACCGCCUCCGGUGAGAACCCGUCGACGAGGACACCCAAAACGGGAUCGCCGUGUUCCCCUCUUUCUUCUGGUGCCUUCCGCGCGUUAAACCGUGCACCGUGGCGUUAUUUCGCCCAACUCCGGCGACCCGCCGCCGCUCGCCGUCGCGCGCCGCCGCUCGCCGCCGCCGCCGCUCUGGUUUCCGCCGCCGUCGCGAGUCGUCGUCAACCGCAGCCGUCGGAUCAAGAUCCGACAGUCAAUCGCGGGUCAAUCCGGCCGCGUACCGGUCAACCGAGCCGCGCUGCGCCGCUUUUGCACUUAAGCCCCCGCCUUUUGCGCAAAUCAACCCGCGGUCCAGAUCGCGUUGAAAAUAAUUCCAGAUCUGCCCUCGCAUUUUUCGGUUUAACCCUUGAGCUUUCCAGAAAUCAACCCGCCGUCCGGGUUUGAUGUUUUUACGCGUCAGACCCUCGGUUUAUACGCAUAAUUACGUAUAAGCCCUCGGUUUUCGCGGAUAGGCCCUAAAAGUUUUGUUUUUCUCACAGAAAAGUCCCUGGAUCUUGUUUUAAUCAUAUCUUUUGCAUCUUAACUCCGUUUUUCGCGUUCUUUAUAUCCACGUGUUCGUUUUAAAGCGUAGAUCAUCUUUUCAAGCUUGUUUUCUCUGUUUGACUAUGUUUGGUGUACUAUUUUCUUACUUUUUGCCCAUGUUUGCUUGUAUGUGCUCGUGUGACGCGUGUAGACGCCCCGCAGUUCGAGGGAGUUGCAGAUCAAGCCUUCGAGGAGUACGAACAGCAGGAGCAAGGCCAAGAAGGCAAGUCGUGUCCUUGAUCACUACCUUUUUGUCGUAUACACCUUUACUUUCUCGUACUCAACAUUUAUGCUAUGCACAUGUUAAGAUUAAAUUGAUGGGUCCCAAUUAAGGUUCGCCUAGAUUGAUUUACCUUUGCCUUGACCAACCGGUUUACUUUAUGUUGGGUAGCUCACGCUUAGUGCUUACUUGGUAUAUGGUGGUUUAACUAAACACAAUGCUAAAUCUUGCUUUACUUCUGUUAUACCUUUCAUUAAGACAAGAUCAUUAUUUGUUAAUCGGAACAUGGAGCGACCACCCAGGAAAACAGUGCUACCACAAGACUAAAUGGCUCUGGUCUUGGCUGAUUAAUUAGAAACCUUAGUCUGGGGUGACCUUACUCGUGAUGAGGCAAGAGGGGGGACUGAGUCGUGCAUUUUACCUGGGAUGGGUGGUGCAUGCCAGACACCGAAACCUUAGCGGGUUACCACUGACUAAUGAAUCUUUGUAAAGGCCUCGUAGCGUCCCUAUGCAAUCACACCUCGGAAGUGUGGUAUGGUGCCUUGCAAACACCGCAUGUUUGGGUCCAAAGUUCUUAUGAACUUUUACACGACUUGUGGGUAAAGAUGUGCCACCUCUGCAGAGUGUUAAACUGAUCGAUCAGCCGUGCUCACGGUUAAGAGCGGCCUGGACCCUCACAUGAUAAUAUUAUCGGAAGAUGGAUUUAACUUGUUAUCAUUUCAUGCAUAUGUUGUUGCUUUAUUUAUGUUCAUGUUUAAUUUCGGGUGGUAUAAACUUAUACUUAGUUAAUUGCUAAUAAAACUUGACCAACUUAAUUAAAAGCGACUGCUAAUCAUGCCUUAGCCAUACCUUGAAUUAGCCUUACACUACACUAUUCCCCACGACUUGUUGAGUACCAACCAUAAGUGUACUCACCCUUGCAAAACCGCUGUUCAGACCAAGUUAAUUGGGAAGAGGAGUAUCUACACGACUUCGAGGAGUUCUAGGCGUACGUUUCUUCAGUCAGCUGCCUGUGGAGUCGUCGUCGUCUUUGGAAGUUCCGCUGCGUAAUAAUUAGACUUUGUGGUUUAUGUGAGACAUUCGGUCAUGUAAUAAUGGUUAUUACUCUCUUUAUUCGAUUUAGCACUGUCUUUGCUAUUCACUAUUGUCGUACAUGUGUGUAACUUGAUCCUGACGCACAUGUAUUUAAUGCACUCGAUUUUGUCCUUAAAAUCGGGUGUGACAAUCUGUUUGUUGCCACAAAGUGCAACGGGCAUGGUAGAGGAUCUACUCCCUCCAUCCCAUAAAACAUAUCAUUCUAGGAAUUUUACGACAUAUUAAUAAGAGGUAAAAUGACCUUGAUUGCUCCUAUUUAUAAUUGACUGUUGCAUGUUUACAUGCUCACAUGCCAAAUUGAGUAUAAUGACAUGUUGAUUAUAUAUAUUGAUAGAUCCAUUAUUUUGUUGGAUCUGUUCCACUUGGUGUAUCAUGCUAUGAAUUUCAUGCGGUUUUGUGCGCCCAGCUCCUAAUGGCGCGAAGCAAUAUCAACUGCGUAUCAUUUGCAUGAAACAUCUUGAAUGUCACUUCUUUUCUGAUGAUUAUGGAUGAAGCAUCUGUCCUGUGUAUGCAUGUUUCGUGGGAUGAGGCGGCAACAAGGGAACAGGGCUUUCCUCUGGCGUGUAUGUCAUGUCGUCGCUCCAUUCUUCAUCUAUCCCUCGCUAACCUAGGAAUGACAGCAGAUGACGAGAAUGCUGUAAUGCAUAAAACUGUUUGCCCGGACCAUACCAUCAUUUGGUGAGGAAAUUGGUCUGAAAAAUCAGGAUCUUUAAAAAAACUCACAAAUCAGGUUAGUUCCUAGACAAGACAGUUCAGUGGAUUUACUGGCAAUGGAACCCUCACUCCCCAGCACAGUUGGAAACUGUGGCUGCAGCUGAUCUGUCAAAGGCAAAUCAGCUUUAACCUCAACCUUUAACCUCAAAAAGUGUCUUUUGCUGUUAUUUUUAGACCAAUGGUCUAGAUCCUCUACCAUGUCCAUUUGACCAUUUCACUUUGACGUAACGUGUGUGGUUGUGGUACCCUCAAGUUGUCUGUGUGGCUUAAAUGUGGGUAAAUUGCUCAAAUUGUCAUUCGCCAAUUUUAUUUUUGCUUAAACUCUGCAACGUGAUGAUGUGGCUUCAGUAGGUGGUGUGUUGUGCAUUUUGCUGAAGAAAAAGAGUGGGAAGGGCUAAGACCUAAGAUGUUUGCUUGGAGAGUGUAGCGAGUGUUGGAAAUAUGCGUUUAAUUCUACCAGAUUUAAACAUGAGGCAUAUUACGUAACUCAUUGCUACUGCUAUGUAAUCAAAUUCUAGAUUCAAACAAAUAGGCGUAAUCCGCAACAUACUCAUAUAAACGGUAUAUAAAGGCAGCUUAAGCAGUGCAGAUGUAACGAAAACUUCUAAGCACGUAACCUUCCUGCACAUGAUGUAACCCAUACUGUAACAGAUCAAAUCUAUGGACUUACAGAUUAAGUGCUCCAUCCUCGUGUAGACACGGAUGCAGGGUUACUCGAUGCAGUGCAGAUUGUUGAUGAGGCAGUGUAGAAUGUAGUCGAUUGAUUCGAGCAGUCGUGCAGUUGCGCUGCCCAGAAACCUUAUUGUCGCCCCUCAUGCAGGCUUCCCGACAACAGCAGCUCGGAGAUACCACUCACCCUCCUCCUCGGUGCACGCCAAGGAGAAGAGCCGGCAAGAUCUGGCAGCUCAGUACCACAGCACAAAUCACCAGAUGGAAAAACAGCACAAAUCACCAGAUUGAAAAAGAGACAGAAGAGGAGUUUGUGGGAGUUUUCGCGUGUGUGUUCCUGGACGUCUCCAAGACUUCUUGUAGAGAAGACGACAACCCUUUGCUGACCGUUUCUGCUAUAAAAUUGCCCCACUAAUUGGCAGUAGUAAUCGCCCUAUUAAUUCAGGAUUAAGGCAUUGAUUGCAUGUUUAUCACCUCUAAUGACUGUUGUCAAAAGAUUACACGCCACCAGCACAAAGGUUACACCAACUUGGCUUGGCUGCAUGCGGUGUCCCAAAUCACAAGUCAUGCGAUUGGUUACGCGAAAAGGAGCGUGAAUAUGCGCGCGUGUUGUGUAACCCAAGCUCCAUUCUCUCCUUCAGUUAUGUAUUUAGAGAAGUGAGAGAACUCUCAUAUUUAAGUUGGCUUCCACCAACCCAAACUAGCAGUAUGUGAUUAUUGAAUGUCAUUGCACUCUUGCUUUGGGAUUCCAUUAAAUGGGCCUCUCCAUGGGCCAUUUUUCCAACAACAAGGACUAAUCAAGUGAGCAUGUAUACCACUCGUACGAGGCCUGAGUAAUUUUCACCCUUCACACACAUUCUGCCCUUCACCCUACGCACCCAUUCCUCAUCCCUGCACGCACUACUAUGCAAUCCACGUCUAGUACCGGUUGGGAACCUCCCUCUAGUACCGGUUCUGCAACCGGUGCUGGGAAUUCGGUACCAGAGGGGGAUCCUUUAGUACCGAUUAUUUCAACCGGUACUAGUAGUGACACCACUCCACGACAAACAUAUCGCGAGAACAAGGGGUAGCUGUUCCAAGGUGCAACCGUGCAAGCUGUGAUGAGCUUAAUUUCCACUUUUUUGGGACAUUAUGCUUAAUUUCCUCUAAUCCUUGGGUUGUUGGCGAUAUAGAAGCGGUUUGCAGGUUGGGUCGGUCCCCUCGGCAACCUGUGGGCUGUGGCCAUGCACAGUCGCAUGCAGCAGCACUUGCGCCGUUCUUUUCUGGCCUUCUGGGGAUGGAAAAAGAAAAGGGGCCGGCCUUUUGCAUGUGGGCAGCAUGAACCCAUGAUCCGAUCCCAAGGUGGUGUUUGCUUUUACUAUUGGUAUAAGUUCCAAGUUUUUGGCUUUUUGCUGCCCCCAAAUCAAGAGCUGAGUGGUUCGGAUCGAGCAUUCGAGCUCGAGCUGACACGUGGAUGGCUCCAACAAAAAAAAAAGACCCCUCCAUGAAUGGUCCUAAGCUUGGUCGAUAUUAGAAGCUGCCAAAUUCAUAACAUGUCCUGGAGUACGUAAAGAGUAACAACAGACAUGUUGCCAUAACUCCAACAAUUAAAACUGAUAUCACAUUUUUACACUAAUGGAAGUGGCGUUAAUAUCUUAAAUCCGGUGAAACUCACCUUACAUCUGUGACUUAGAGCCAAUUUGGUGGAGCUUACUCCGGCUCCUCCUACUGACACACUACUGUAGCGUCAGAGGAGCCGGAGCCGGAGUUAGCUCCUCCUUAGCCUAUGAGAGGGAGGGAGAGGAGGGAGAAAAAUGGAUCCGUGAACAAUGUUGCUACAGGACCGAAACAGUGCAUCGUUAGGAGGAGCAUGAGUCGGCAGGAGCUCCACCAAACUGGUCCUUAAAAUUUCGAAUUCUCAAAAACACAUGUGACUGUUCUACCAGAGAACAAGGAUCCCUAAUAUUUCCUCGUGGCUACUUCUCUCUUACAGCCCGGCACCCUCGUUAGGACAUCACCUAUGAUUGCAGCAGCAGAUGUACGAGUAUCAAUGUUGAUGAGUAUCUUGUUAUGAAUCAUUGUGUUGAUUCUUUCUUUAUACCUAGGGAGCUACCACUUGUAAUUUAGGAUAUCGGUUCCCAAAUCUUUGUAUCUCGUUUUCAUCUUAAGUCCUUAUCAAAAAAGAAAAAAAAACAGCCAUGUUGGCCGCACCGGAACAGAGCAUCCUCAAAGAUUUGCAGCCUGCAUUGUGCACCACCACCAACAAGAAUGCGGUUUAAUUAAACCGGCUGGUUUGGCUUCUGUUGUUUUCUGGAAAAUAUCAGAUUCUGUUGGCUUCUGUUUGAACAGGAGAUGAGGAGGAGAAAGCGGAGAGGCCACAGCAAGGCAGCAGCCUUUCACCGGGCCUAUCAGCUGGAGUUGGUAGGGCGGUAGGGCCUAUCAGCUGCUUCUCGAUGAGACUGCCAGAUGGCCCUCGGUCGCUCCUUGUCUCUCCGGCUCUCCCUCCCUCCUGUCCGCUCCGUCCUCAAAAAGAAAACCCUACUACCCUAGCAACAACCCCACCCACUCCCAGCUCCCUCUCCCAGCUUCUGGCCGAAAACCCUAGCAACAAUCCACACACCCGUCCCCAAUCCACACACCCGUCCAAUCCAAAAUGGCCGCCGCGCGGGCCCUCGCCGGCAAAACCCGUGCCGGCGCCGCGUCCCGGCCGCGCGUCGCGGCGGUGCUCCGCGCGCCCCCGCUAGGCGCCGACCCGCCCUCUCUCGCGGCGGCGCUCCAGGCCCCGCGCGCGCCUCCGACACGCACCGUCCGGCCCGCUCUCGCACCGGCGCUCCUCGGCCCGCGCGCGCCUCCGCUGGGCGGCGGGUCGCCUCGCGCGGCGGCGCUUCUCGGCCCGCGCGUCGCGGCAGCGCUUCGCGCGCCCCCGCUAGGCACUAGUAGAGAAUUGGGCUUUAAUCCCGGUUGGUAGGGUGCAAAUAUCCCGAAAAUGCAUCCGGGAUAAACCAACCGGGACAAAAGGGGGGGUCUUUUAUCCCGGAUCACUCAACCGGGACAAAAGGGUCGAGAGCGCCGACGCUGCAAAAAAAAAAAAAUUCCCAAGCUGGCCCCCCACACACGCAAGUCACAAGUCACGAGAUUUUUCACGCGAAAUAUGCGCGUGCGCGGUUCGUGGGAUUCGAACCCACAACCUCCAGCCUCACGCGUAGCUUCCUUGCCAUCCCACCUACACACCACAUCUGACUAUGUAGGGGAUACUAUCCUUUUGUAUUAACUCGUGGGGGACCCUUUUAUCCCGGUUGGAAACACCAACCGGGAUAAAAGACCCCCUUUUAUCCCGGUUGGUGUUUCCAACCGGGAUAAAAGGGUUCGAGGGAUUUAAUCCCCUUCCAGCCACCUUCCAGUCACCUCGUUGGGGGCCCUUUUAUCCCGGUUUGAAACACCAACCGGGAUAAAUGACCCCUUUUAUCCCGGUUGGUAUUACGAACCGGGAUAAAAGGCUCUUGACCCUUUUAUCUCGGUUGGUGUUACCAACCGGGAUAAAAGACGUUUAUCCCGGUUGGUGUUUCAAACCGGGAUAAAAGACCUCUCAGAGUCUUUUUUCCCAUUAGCCUUUGCAACCGGGAUAAAAGGUUCCGGUUGGUGAGGCCCCCACCAGUGACUGAGUUUUAGUCCCGGUUGGUGAACCUUUUGUCCCGGGCCAACUUUAAACCGGGACAAAAGGAGGCGUAUGGAAAGCCAAUUCUCUACUAGUGAGGCGCCGACUCGCCCUCUCUCGCGGCGGCGCUCCAGGCCCUGCGCGCGCCUCCGACACGCGCCGCCCGGCCAGCUCUCGCACCGGCGCUCCUUGGCCCGCGCGCGCCUUCGCUGGGCGGCGGGUCACCUCGCGCGGCGGCUCUCCUCGGCCCGCGCGCGCGGCCGCUGUGGCUCGGGGCUGGGGCGCGCGUGCCUUGCCUCCUCCGCCUCCCCGCCACCGUCGUGUGCCGGGGUCUCCACGGGGUAGGCAUCGAGCCCGACAAGGCCGGCCACGUCGACGGCGACAAGUCCAGGUACGCCGCCACCAAGAGCGACCCCGAGAUCCACCCCGCCGCCGUCGUGUGCCGCGCCAAGCCAAAGGACGUCUCCAUGCGCGCCGCCGCCGAGCUCCCCUGCAACGGCGACGACGGCUCCUCCACCUCCAGCGACGUCGAGGGUGCCGGCGGGAUCCACGUCGAGGACGAGGUGCCCGCCGCCGAGGACGUCCGCCCUCACGGCUCCUCCAGCGACGUCGAGGGUGCCGGCGGGAUCCACGUCGAGGACGAGGUGCCCGCCGCCGAGGACGUCGCUGCUACCCGCGCCACCAAGACCGCCCCCGAGAUCUCCGAUGUAACACCCAAAAUUUUGAAUAAUUUAAAUUCAUUAAAAUUUGCUCAAAUUAGGGUGUUAUUUAAAUUCUAGGCAUUUAAAUUCAUUUUCUGUAAUUCAAUUAAUUCAUCAUAGGAAUUAUUUGUGCAUUCAUGCUGGAGCAUAAUUUUUGGUUGCUUGAGUUUGAAUCAAAUUUUGAAUUUCAGAUUUAAAUUCAAAUUCCAAAACCCUUUUCUUUUUCUUUCUUUUUCUUUCUUCUUCUUCUUUCCCUGGGCCGAAAUCUCCUUCUCCCUCCUUUUCUUUUCUUCCCUCGGCCCAGCUGCAGCUUCACCGGCCCGCGAGUCCGCCCGCCGGCCCCCUUUCUUUUUCUCCCGCGCGGCCCGUCGCUCCUUCCUCCGCGGCCCGCCGCUUCACCCCUCCCCCUUUUUUUCUUCUGCCGGCCCACGCAGCUGCCCCGGCCUGCUCCGCUCGCCCUUCUCCUCCGCAGCCCACGAACCGCGUGCCGGCCCAGCUGCUGCGCCAGCCCGCUUGCGCCACGCCCACCGACAGGUGGGGCCCACCGCCAUCGUCUCCCACCUCCGGCCGGAUUCCCGCAACCGCCGCGCCGCCGUCUCCACUCGGGACUCCCUCAUCCGCUCCGAAUCCUCCGGGGAUUCAAACCCGGGGCUCUAUCUCCAAGCCCCUAUAAAAGCCGCCGCCUCCUCCCGGUCUCCUCCGCCCAAAACCAGCGCCGCAGCUCCCCGAAACCCUAGCCGCCCGAGCUCCUAGCGCCGCCGCCGCUUCCCCGCCGUCUUCCGCCGCCGUCGGUGAGCUCCGGUCGACGAGGACCCCCAAAAUGAGUUCGCCGCACCCUCCUUUUUUCUUCUGGUGCAACCCGCGCAUCAAACGGUGCCCCGGAGUGCCGUUUCGUGUAGCUCCGGCGACCCGCCGCCGCUCGCCGUCGCGCGCCGCCGCUCGCCGCCGCUCUCUGCCGCUCGCUGCCGCCGCCGCGAUGUCGUGGACGACCGUGGCCGUCCGAUCUUAAUCCGACGGCCGGACACGAGUCAAUCAAGAUCGCGUACCGGUCAACUACGCCGCGCCGCGCCGCUUUUGCACUUAAGCCCCCGCCUUUUCCGCAAAUCAACCCGCGGUCCAGAUCGCGUUAAAAAUAAUUCCAGAUCUGCCCUCGCACUUUUCGGUUUGACCCUUGAGUUUUCCAGAAAUCAACCCGCCAUCCGGGUUUGAUGUUUUUACGUGUCAGACCCUCAGUUUAUACGCAUAAUUACGUAUAAGCCCUCGGUUUUCGCGGAUAGGCCCUGAAAGUUUUGUUUUUCUCACAGAAAAGUCCCUGGAUCUUGUUUUAAUCAUAUCUUUUGCAUCUUAACUCCGUUUUUCGCGUUCUUUAUAUCCACGUGUUCGUUUUAAAGCGUAGAUCAUCUUUUCAAGCUUGUUUUCUCUGUUUGACUAUGUUUGGUGUACUGUUUUCUUACUUUUUGCCCAUGUUUGCUUGUAUGUGCUCGUGUGACGCGUGUAGACGCCCCGCAGUUCGAGGGAGUUGCCAAUCAAGCCUUCGAGGAGUACGAACAGCAGGAGCAAGGCCAAGAAGGCAAGUCGUGUCCUUGAUCACUACCUUGUUGUCCUAUACACCUUUACUUUCUCGUACUCAACAUUUAUGCUAUGCACAUAUUAAGAUUAAAUUGAUGGGUCCCAAUUAAGGUUCGCCUAGAUUGACUUACCUUUGCCUUGACCAACCGGUUUACUUUAUGUUGGGUAGCUCAUGCUUAGUGCUUACUUGGUAUAUGGUGGUUUAACUACACACAAUGCUAAAUCUUGCUUUACUUCUGUUAUACCUUUCAUUAAGACAAGAUCAUUAUUUGUUAAUCGGAACAUGGAGCGACCACCCAGGAAAACAGUGCUACCACAAGACUAAAUGGCUCUGGUCUUGGCUGAUUAAUUAGAAACCUUAGUCUGGGGUGACCUUACUCGUGAUGAGGCAAGAGGGGGGACUGAGUCGUUGCAUUUUACCUGGGAUGGGUGGUGCACGCAAGACACCGAAACCUUAGCGGGUUACCACUGCUUAAUGAAUCUUUGUAAAGGCCUUGUAGUGUCCCUAUGCAAUCACACCUCGGAAGUGUGGUAUGGUGCCUUGCAAACACCGCAUGGUUGGGUCCAAAGUUCUUUUGAACUUUUACGCAACUUGUGGGUAAAGAUGUGCCACCUCUGCAGAGUGUUAAACUGAUCGAUCAGCCGUGCUCACGGUUAAGAGCGGCCUGGACCCUCACAUGAUAAUAUUAUCGGAAGAUGGAUUUAACUUGUUAUCAUUUCAUGCAUAUGUUGUUGCUUUAUUUAUGUUCAUGUUUAAUUUCGGGUGGUAUAAACUUAUACUUAGUUAAGUGCUAAUAAAAUUUGACCAACUUAAUUAAAAGCGAAUGCUAGUUAUGCCUUAGCCAUACCUUGAAUUAGCCUUACACUACACUAUUUCCCACGACUUGUUGAGUACCACCCAUAAGUGUACUCACCCUUGCAAAACCCCUGUUCAGACCAAGUUAAUUGGGAAGAGGAGUAUCUACACGACUUCGAGGAGUUCUAGGCGUACGUUUCUUCAGUCAGCUGCCUGUGGAGUCGUCGUCGUCUUUGGGAGUUCCGCUGCGUAAUAAUUAGACUUUGUGGUUUAUGUGAGACUUUCGGUCAUGUAAUAAUGGUUAAUGCUCUCUUUAUUCGAUUUAGCAUUGUCUUUGCUAGUCACUAUUGUCGUACAUGUGUGUAACUUGAUCCUGGCGCACAUGUAUUUAAUGCACUCGAUUUUGUCCUUAAAAUCGGGUGUGACAUCCGACGCCAGGGAGAAGGACGGCGCCGGCGAGGGCAAAUGCUGUGACUGUCUCAGUGCGUUCAAAGCCUACUCUGAUCACAACAGAGAGGUUACAGUGAGUAAAAUCAAGAAGAUGUGGGAAGAGCACAGGUAGCGUUUGGUGAUUCCAUGCCUUCUUUUUAUUUCUAUAUAUGCAUUAGCGUUUGUAACCUGAACACGCAUUGUGCAGCGAGAAGCAGCUCAAGCAGCAGAAGGUGAGCGAAAAGAGCAGCCGCACGACUCUUACGAUUACCUUCUGCUUCAUCAACAUUGUCCAGAUUGGAAUUGUGGCAAUGGUUGCUGUAAUCUGUGGUGUAUCGUACGCGGUGGAGGAAGCUCAUGACAAGCUGGUAGUUCUAUCCAAGGAUGAGAAGACCAGAGAAAUUGUCAACAACCUUCUGGAUAUGGUGAGAAAUUACUUGGAAGAGAUUAGUCUGGUUGGUGAAAUUCUCAAGAAGAUGAAGAGUGGGACUGCAUGGGUAAUCAGCAAGACAUACUCGGCAAUCACAAAUUCUCAUGGAAGACAUACUCGACAAUCACAAAUUCUCAAGGAAGUGCUACGUGUGGCACAGAUCACAGACUCCACGAAUGCUUGUACAGACUGUGUUUAUAUCACUCGUUCUAAAAAAUGGUUGUAUCACUUGCUGAGUUGGAUUUAUUCCUUAGUCAAUUCAUCUAACAAUUCAACGAUUCUUUUCCAAAUAGCAAAAGUGCAACUAUAGAUGGUGGUUAUUUAUAGGUGUGCCCCUUGAACUUAUUUGAUGAUUUUAGAUACUUUAUUAUCUAUUAACGACUUUAUUUCAUUAUCGUCUCUUCCUUUGAACUAGAUGUAUUGCUUGAGCUAUGAUUUGAGUAUUUGACCGGCCACCUUGAGGGUGUAGGGUUCAAGUUCAACCGGUGUUGUUGGGUUAUGUUUGCGCAGUGUGCGUUGGGAUUUACACGUACUGGUUGCGCUUGAUCCACAGGUCAUAUUGGAGUGGAGACACUAUGUUCUCCUCUUUUGCCGCUGUUGGGUGGGUGUUCUUGUGCUUAGCAAAACAAGUCUGGGAAUGUGCUUAUCAAUUAUUCCCUCCGUCCAAAAUUACAAUUUGUUUUGAUCUAGACGUAGUAUAUAUCUACUCCUAUGUGCAUAUAAAAAGUUAUAUUCCUAGAAAAGCCAAAAUGAAUAGUAAUUUGGGACGGAGGGAGUAGUUCAUAUAUAAAGCUGUAUUUAAGAGAUAUUUUUAGAGAUAUUUUAGAGUCAUUUUUAGAGAUAUUUUAGCGAUAGUUUUUAGAGAUAUUUUGUUCUUUCAUUUUGGAGUUAACUGUAGCAGGUGCUGUUGCUUACCUUGAAGAUGAUGAAAGCUUCCGUACCAUCCAUGUAAAUCGUAGUGGUCUGUUAAAGCACUCUAUUUAUGGUAUGGUUUCUGAGAGUACACACCAGACAAUAUGUGCAUGGUACACUGUGUUAUGAUGUUGCCUUAGUAGAAAGGUGGUGGAAACUUAUUAUGGGACUAUGAUGUACUAUGUUAAAUCGGUUUGAAUGAAAACUUUGGAACUGAUGCUUGCCACUUGGGUGCUGAUUUGCUGCUGGAUCUAUAUGAAAGCAUGAUUGUGGUAAAUAUUUAGGUGCAUAAUAAUAUCUAUGAAUCUAGAAAAGCUAAAAUGACCUACAAUUUGGAACGGAGGAAGUAGUUAACUGGAAGACCACCUUUUUUUCCUGCGCUGAAGCAGUGCACUUAUGUUGUUGCUAUAUGAAAUAAUAAGCAGUACACAUAUGAGCUCUUUACAGAAAGCUCAUUCCAAAUGCUCCUUAGGAAAUUAAGUUGGAUGAUACCGAUGAGAGGCAGAUUUUGCAUCAUCUUGCUAUAGCAUGCCGUGCUUUAUCUGAGUGUGUAAAAGACUGUAAUGAUCUCAAAAGAAGCAUUGAUGAGCAUGGCUUUUCAGUUGAACAGAAAGCAACAGAGCUGUUUGAUGUAAUGUCCAACUUGCGGAAUUAACAGACUCACUUCUCAGCAUAAUGAGUUGGAAUCUUUGAGAGCAAAAUUUGUUGAACUAUAGUCAGAGAUAAAGAAAGAGACGAGGAGAUUGUAUCUGAACGCAGGAAUAUGAGCUUGCUAUAUGAAGCAGGUACUAGUUCAGUUGCUGAGAUUGAAGGGAUGACUGAUAUAUACGUACCCUGGUAACAAGAGCUAUUCUGUUGAUCAUUCUGCAGAUGAACGUAUAAAAUCAAUAGUUGAACAGUUAGUUUUAGCUGUAAAAACUUCUCGGAACAGUAAUGAAGGCAGCACAAAGGAACUGAAGGCUACUGUUCUUGAGUUGCAGCAGGAGCUUCAAGCUAAAGAUAUUCAAAUUAGCACAAUCAGUUCAGAGCUUUCAUAUCAGUUAAGGGCGGCUGAAUCUUCUGCAAAGCAGCUCUCAGUUGAGCUUGAAGGUGCAAAAAUGGAAGUCCACAAUUUGGCGAAACAAGUUGAUAUGUUGCAUAAUGAGAACAAGGCUUUAGAGACUCAAGUCAAUGAGCUUAAAAAUAUGGAGUCAGUGGCAAGUGAGCAGCACGGAAGAAUUAAGGAAUUGACUGAUGAACUAAGCAGAAAAGACCAAGGUGAGCUGUCAGAACAUUUUGAUUCAGUUUGGUUUGAUUACUUAUGUUUUGUUCACUGCUACAUGUUUUCGGCUUUUCGCAUAAUUAAAUAAGUCGAAAACACUUGUUCCUAUGGUUGUUAAUACUUCCUUUUGUGUGUGUAUUCUGCAGAAAUUGAAGGUUUGAUGGAAGCACUUGAUGAAGAAGAAAAAGAGGUUGAAGUCAUGGAGAACAAAAGUCAUGAGUUGGAGCAAAUGCUGCAAGAAAAAGAAUUUGCUUUAAGGAGAGCAGAAUUUGGAUAUAAUCUCCCCCCUCCCCGGUGUGUAGGGUAGCCGCCUGAACGUGUCUUUCCAAUCAUUUUGCACUUUGUAUACAGUCCCUCAACUUUUUACCUAAAAAUGUGUUGCCAUCAUUUUUCACCCCAAUGGUUUAGAUCAUCUGCCAUGCCCACUGCACUUUGUGGUAACGCUAUGGGUAUCCUCGAGUUGUCUGCCUAUCUUACAUGUGGGUCCAAGGCUUCCAUCAAUCCAUCAUUUACAUCUAUUGUAUCUAUACAUAGCGUAUAUUUAUUUACUUCAUCCGACAGCGUCUGUUCUAAAUUGUAGGUCAUUUUAACAUUUCUAGAUUCAUAGAUUUUGAUAUCUAUAUAUACUACAUCUAAACACAUAGUAAAAAUUACGAAUCUAAAUAUGUCAAAACGACCUACAAGUUACGAUGGAGGGGGUAUAUUUUAAAUUAUUAAAAUUGGCACAAGAUACCAUAAAUGCUUAAACUAUGCAGGCACUCCGUCUGCAGUUUGCUGAUGAGAAAGACUAUAAGGGGAUGUUUGGAUACCCUGCACUGAACUUUAGUCCCUGCCACAUCGUAUGCUUGCACACUAAUUAGGAAUAUUAAAUAUUAUCUAAUAAUAAAACUAAUUCGUCCUGGGGCCAUGAAACGGUGAGCGGCCGGGGUCCCCGCAGCUCCCCUGUGACCUGUGGGCUGCGUGGGUGCACAGGCGCAUGCAGCCACUGCCUGCUGGCCUUCUGCACUUGCGCUGUUGUGUUCUGGCCUUCUUGGGGAUGUGUAAAGAAAAGAAGCUUUUUGCAUGUGGGCACUAUCAACCCGUGAUCUGAUCCCAAUGUGGUGUGUUGGCUUUUGGAAGUUUUUGCUGCCCCAAACCAAGAAACCAAGUGGUUGGGAUCAAGGAGGAACUGACACGUGGGUGUCUCCGAUUAAAAAAAACCCUCAUAAAUGGUCAAUGGAAGUUGCCAAACUCAUACUAUAUCCUGGAAUGCGCCGCAACAGACAUGUUGGCAGUGGCAGAGCUGGACAGCUCGUCGCCUCGUCCUCAUAUGUUGAUCGUGUGAGAAACCCUAACAUGCAAUUUGAUUAAUAUUUAGUGAAAUUAUGUCAAAAUUGUACAUGCAUGUGCCUGGCAGAACGAAUAUUGCAGCAAAUUAGCUUGCAUACUAUCGGUUCUUCUAUUUGCUCCAACUCUAAAUGAACUAAUUAACCAGCUGAAGUGGAGUCCUUGUUAAAUUAGAGAUUAUUAUUAUAGCCUUAGUAACAAGUCAAUCGUUUAAAUAAAAUACACAUAUAUUUGCAAAUAAGAAAUCUUAGCUUUCUCACUUUCUCUAUAUAAUCGCGAGAAUUGCUAGACUUUAUUUUGUUAUUAUACCUCAGUAUGCCCAAUGCAACAUAUUUUUUUGGACUAAAAGACUAUUAUUCUAAAGUCUCGCUAAUUAUGUUCACGUGUACAUAUAUAGAACUAAAAGAUGACAUCUCACAAGUAUAAAAAUGCUCAUAAUAAACAUCUUGGUUGUCUUAGAUUUUUUUUAAUUGUAAAGAUGGAUUUGACGGUUCGUAACACCAAUUGCGUGACAUAAUUUAUCCGCCACACAACUUGGUUUCACCAUACUUAUCUCUCACGGUUGAGAAUAUAUAAUGUCAUGUGACAAAAAAUAGAGAGUAUAUGUCAAGGUUACUUUCUCGAAGCAUGCAAGAAACCCAAGCGCUCAGCGCAACGACAGUUCAAAUAAUAUCCACCAUGCUUCAUUUCAUCAUCAUAUGCAAAUUCGGUAGGUAUCAGGUGCUUAAUAAGGAUGAUGGGAUGAUGAAGGUGGUGAAGAAGGACCCUAUAGGACAACACCUCCGAUCAUAAAGUGGCAGCACCGAGGAUGGUGGAUGGCUUUGGUCUUUGGACACUACUACCUAUCAUGCUAUCACUUAUACAUGCGAACUCGUGGUGCCUUGCGCCAAAGCAUGCAUGUCAGGUAGCUACGACUCUAUAGGCCGGGCAGGCUAGUCGCUAGUCUAGCGGCAUGGAAUCCCUGUGUAACUGCCUGUCUGGCCAGGGCCCACCUCGGUGCUGCCACCAGUACUACGUGCAGAACAUUAUUAUUAUUUUUGAAUUGUCAUCGUGCUUAAACUUGCUAAUGACACUCAUAGGUUGGGUAGUGCUGCGCUAGAAAUUUACUACCUUUUUGCAGGAUGGGCGAGGAUCUUGCUAAGCUCAAUUCCUUGGGGUAGGAGGAAAUAUGGAUUAAUUAUGUUGGAUUUAUUCCUUAGUCAAUUCAUCUAACAAUUCAACGAUUCUUUUCCAAAUAGCAAAAUUUCAACUAUAGAUGGUGGUUAUUUAUAGGUGUGCCCCCUUUCAAGUGCUUAUUUGAUGAUUUUAGAUACUUUAUUGUAUCCCUGCUCACAAUAUUUCCUUUCAUCCUCUUAUUUUAUUUGGCAUCAUUUAUAGUCGCUCAUUACAGCAUUUCAGCACAUUGAGGUUGCCAUCGGGCCAUUGAUCAACCAACACUUGGCAUCUUACAAUCUGCACAGCAAGAGAUAUUUUGUCUCAGCCUUCUGUUACUAGACAACCACAAAUUCUCAUGGAAGACAUACUCGGCAAUCACAAAUUCUCAAGGAAGCGCUCCGUGUGGCACAGAUCACAGACUCCACGAAUACCUGUACAGACUGUGUAUAUAUCACUCGUUCUAAAAAAUGGUUGUAUCACUUGCUGAGUUGGGUUUAUGCCUUUAUGGUCUGGUUUGUUUCAGUGCAAGCUCUGAUGAUGUCAGCAAUGUCGCCUUAUCUCAUCAGACUCACGGUAGUGUCACAUAAUUGGCAAUUGGAUGUAGUGCCAUCGUUCGAGCAUAAGCGUGGUGACCGGCCAGCGAGCACUUCUAUUAGCAAAGAAAUAUGGCUUGAAACAUUAUAAUAUGCUGCUUCUACGGAUGUACCGGUCAAGAAAACAAGUUGCCCAUUCACCACAACCAUAGCUUCACAUAGAUCCAAGGAAAAUUUUACAAAAGUGCCCAAGUGGCGACCGCCGCUUCUAAAGUUCCAAUUCAUUCAACUAAUUCAACAUAGUACAUUAUAGUCCCAUAGUUUCUACCACCUUUCUACAAAUGUAACAUCAGAACACAUCACAUUAUAAAAAGUUGUCUGAGAGUAUACUCACACAAAACACACCAUAAAUAGAGUGCUUCAACACAGUACUACCGAGUUACUUAGAUAUGCAGAUAUGCUAAUACAGUCAAAUUAAUUUAUUUCUUGCAAUCGUAGAGUUCAUCUUCAAUGCAAGCGGCAGUAGCUUUAAGGGGUGUUUGGGAGACAGGGGGUAUUUAAUAUUCCUAAUUAGUGUCCAAACAUCCAAUGUGAAGCCCCUGUCUCCCAAACACCCCCUUAAUAACUAACCACGACAAGGUACAACUAGUAACAACACUUGUGACUCUGAUCAUGUAGUGCUUCCAUACGGCAUUUGGUAUGGCAUGUGCAUGUGCUAGUGAAUUAGCACCGAAUAUAGCUAAUAAAUAGGAAUAACUUAUUAAUAUGUGCUAAAUUUUUUUUAAAAUGAUUUAUUUUUUAGGAUGAAUGGAGUAGCCAUUAAAUGAAUGACUGCCACGUAGGAUUUUAGAUGAUAUGUCACAGAAUUAGGGCCUGUUUGGAUGGGCUAUAGCUAAAGUUUAGCACUUCCACCUAUUAGCAUUCUUAUUUGGAGAUAUGACUAAUAGAUAGAACUAAAGUCCAUGAAAUGUCACUUUUACCCCUUAUUUCCUCACGUCCCCUUUCUCUGUCUCCUCUUUUCGAUCUUUUCACGAGCCAUUAUCACCUGUUAUCUCCUCCUACCAGCUAAUACUUUUUCCUUUUUAGGUGGGCUAAAGUUUAAUGGAUGGGCUAAUGCAAGAAAAUGCUUUAGCACUUUCACCCAUUAGCUAUGGAUCCAAACAGGUCCUCAAUAGAUGGAGAUGAAUGCUAUAUAUUCAUGGAGAUAGAACUUAGGGGGUGUUUGGAUCCUGGAGCUAAAGUUUAGUCCGUGUCACAUCGAAUAUUCAGAUGCUAAUUAGGAGGACUAAAUAUGAGUUAAUUAUAAAACUAAUUACACAUAUGGAGGCUAAACGGCGAGACGAACUUAUUAAGCCUAAUUAAUCCAUCAUUAGCAAAUGGUUACUGUAGUAGCACAUUAUCAAAUCAUGGACUAAUUAGGCUUAAUAGGUUCAUCGCGCCGUUUAGCCUCCAUUUGUGCAAUGGGUUUUGUAAAUAGUCUAUAUUUAAUACUCCUAAUUAGUAUCUAAACAUUCGAUGUGACAGGGGCUAAAGUUUAGCCUAGGAUCCAAACACCCCUUAGAUACGAAAUCCAACACGUUGAAAACUCAAACAUACAAGUGGCUACAAUUUAUAGUCAAGAAUAUAUGAAACUUUAAAUUAUUUUAUGGAACCUAACAAAUAACAUAUAAUAUUGUGCAUCUGGAUAGUUGUAUCGUUGAUAGUAUCAUUUGAUAUGGAAAUUUUGGAGAAUGUGAUGUGAUACAAGGAUUGGGGUUAGAUUAAGAGUGACUCCGACAAUCCCCUUUCCCCCUUUCAGCCAUUAAAGGAUUGACGGAAAUUUUUUUUCCAAUAAACCUGUUUACAUUCUUCUUUUCCCUUCAAUCUCCUUAUAUCUCUCACCUUUUUCCUUGUCCUUGCCGUCGCCGCCUUGUCCCCUGCAGGCCGACUGGGCCGAGCACCACCACCCGUGCGGCAUUGUUGGCCGCCGACAAGGAUGCCACGUGCCCCCAAAAAAUCUACUGCUUGACCACUUCGCCAUGUGGGGCCGCACCAACGGCAGCGGGCACAUGGGGCGCCCCAUGUGCCUAUGGUCGACAAGCAUCGCCGCCAUAGGCCGGGCUCACCUCGUCGCACCUUGCCUGAGCCCCAUGUGACAUGAAAUGAAAAAAAAAAGAUAUGCUGCAGCACUCAUAUCUGAAAUUCGAAAAUUAUGAAAGAUGAUUCCCGUAUAAGAGAAUAAACGGGGAAUGAGAGAAUCAAACUCUUUCUACCCGUAAGAACUGCCAUAUAGUUAUCAGUUUUAGCCUUUGGAGCUACCUUAACAUACGCUGUGCUCGGUAUGUGCCAAAAGGUGAGCUCAGGGAUCCUGCAGGGUCAGACAUGAAAUAAAUAUAUGUUCCAACAAGUAUUUUGCUGCAUAAAGCUAGUUCAAUGUAGUGCGUGCAUGGAGUGAGUGUUGAAAUAUGCAAUGCACACUUGGAACAUCUAGAAGAUUGUGGAGAUCUCAAGAGACUAACUUUGCUAUGUAUAAGGAUAAGAUCAUGGCAAGGUAAGAAGGUUCUAGAAAAUUAGAGAGAAUGCAUGAGCCAUAAUUGCCAUGCUUCAUGGUGAAGUGUAGAAUAUAUUCUAAAACUAGAUAUUUUAGCAUGGUAGAAAUAUAAAAAACUAGAUAAGGAUGAGGAGGGUUCUAGAGUUAGGAUAUUUUGUAUUGAAGAGUGUGAAAGUUGCCACAUGACAACACCACAAUGAUCAUAAGGACCUAUAAAUAGAGGUGCUCCCCUCCCUCCUAGCUGAUUUCUCAAUAGUGAGCGAGGCCAAUUAUUAGCAUGUACACGCAGAACGUAGUAUAAUUAAUAAAGACUAGAUACUCAGAUGAGAGACAAUCAACUAAGAAAGGAUCCAUUGAUAUUUGAGACUUGGGGUAUUGGAGUAAUAUACAAAAUCAUGUAAUUGGGGAAUUGGGGUAAUAAUAUUAGAAAUAUGUAUUUUUCAUCUCUUAAGUAUUUUGGAAGUGUCCCUCAUGUUUUAGUUGGUGCAAAUCGAUCCCUUAAUUUAUAUUUCGAUGCACUAAUCAUCCCCAUCCUAACACUUUUUCCUACAAUAUUUGGUCAGAUAGAUCAAUAUUUUACCGUUACCGUUUUGUCAUUGUAUAGGCUAGACAUAGAUUUUUAUACAUAUACAUAUUGAAGUAUGCACUUAGGUCCAUCACCAACGCACGCUUGCUCGCUAUCCGUGUGGAUGUCACGGCAGAAUCAGGUCCCGCCGCGAAUCGAUUAGUCAAUUCAAACCAAUCCAAAUUUGAAAGCAACAAAUAAACGCCAAAAGUACUAGCAAAUUGCGCUGCAAAAUGGCAAAAAGGAGCGGUGGUCAAGCUGGCAGCAGUCGCCUCCUCUUGGGCAAGGUGGACAGGUGGUGGCAGUGUGUGAAGUGUCCGGAACCCUUGUGGAGCCCAUUGGUGCUGGAGCCUGAAGGGAGUUGGAGAGACGGAGAGGACAGCACAGCACCCAUCAGGCUCUCUCUCUUUCUCCCUCUCUCUCCCUCCCUCUCUGUUUUUUUCAUCUAACAUAAAAUCAAAGGUCUAUUUGAAAAACAAAACAUAAAAUCAAAGGUAUUUAAAUUGCACAUCUGCGAUUGGAAAAAAAAAGGCAACCGCACGUUUGUUGCUGUUCACUGCACAAACUCUAUCAAAAUCACAAACAGGGGAAACGUGAGCGUCAUUAUCAUCUGAAACCUUGUACGUACGUACUUCCUCUUGCCUCUUACUUAUCCCAACGCAAACAUUUGUAGCCUGCAUAUGCCUCUUGUGCACCCCAACAACAAGAAUGCAGUUUAAUUGGGAUACUUGGGGGUUCCCCUAUCUUCCAUUUGGAUUAUUGUCCUGUAAUCACUCGUGUCAAUUAAUGUCAACAUGAAAUUAAACCGGCUGGCUUGGCUUCUGUUGAUUUCUGAUCAGAUUCUAGUCUCUUCCAGUGUUCCUCUUUGCUAUACAUGUACACACCGAUAUGGGCUAGGCCUGGCCCAAUACAUACAUAACUCAACACUCCCCCUCAAGAUGGAUGAUAGAUAUCUAUCAUUCCCAUCUUGCUACAUGCUAAAUUACAUUCUUUGACCCCUAAUCCUUUAGUUAAACAAUCUGCUAUUUGACCACAUGAGUUUACAUGACUUAACUCCAUUUUACCAUUAUCUAACUUCUCCUUAAUAAAGAAGCGAUCAAUCUCCACGUGCUUCAUUCUGUCGUGUUGAAUUGGAUUGUUGGCAAUAUUGAUAGCUGAUUUGUUAUCACACCAAACUCUCAAGGGACCCUUUCUUAGCACAAUUUACUCAGAUAAGAUACUUCUUACCCAUAGCAUCUCGCUCACCACCAAAGACAUGGCUAUAUACUCUGCUUUAGCAAUUGAACCAGAUACAAUUGAUUGCUUCUUGCUCCUCCAUGACACUAGAUUGCCUCCAACAAAGACACAAUAUCCUGAUGUUGAUCUCCUAUCAUCAAGACAGUUUGCCCAGUCAGCAUCACAAUAACCCUCCACAUUUUGAUGACCAUGGCUUUUAAAUAUAAGUCCCUUUCCAGGACUGCUCUUCAGAUAUCUUAGGAUCCAUUACACAGCAUCCAAAUGUCCACUCCUUGGGCCAUUCAUAUAUCUACUCACAACAUUCACAGCAGAGGAAAUAUCAGGCCUUGUAUGACAUAAGUAAAUGAGCCUCCCCACAAGCCUCUGGUAUAUUUCUCUAUUUACUGGAUCACCUGAUUCAGCGCAUAGCUUAUGAUUUGGAUCAGUAGGUGUCGAUGCGGUCCGACAUUCAAGCAUACCAGUCUCACUAAGUAAGUCUAGAACAUACUUUCUUUGUGAGAGAACUAUCCCUUGUGGAGAUCUAGCAACCUCCGUACCAGGAAAGUACCUGAGCUGACCAAGGUCCUUGACCUCAAAUUCUUUACUUAGAUUCUCUUUCAGACAUUUUAUUUCUAUUUCAUUAUCACCUGUGAUAAUGAUAUCAUCCACGUACACAGCUAAGAUUGUGAUCCGUCAUCCAGAAUGCCGAUAGAAUAAAGUAUGAUCCCCAUUGCACUGUUUAUAAUCCAUAACACAUAAUGCAUGUCUGAAUCUAUCAAACCAUGCUUGUGGAGAUUGCUUGAGGCCAUACAACGACUUCUUCAGUUUCAAUGCCUUUCCUUUAGUUUGAUCUGUAGCAAAUCUAGGAGGAAUUUCCAUAUAGACUUCUUCUCGAAGAUCUCCAUGCAAGAAUGCAUUGUUAACAUCUAACUCGUAUAAUGGUCAGCCAUAAUUAGCCGCACAAGAUAUUAAUGUCCUCACGGUGCUCAUCUUUGCAACUGGUGUGAAUGUCUCAUCAUAAUCAAUUCUAUAAGUUUGACUAUACCCUUUUGCAACCAGUCUCGCUUUGUACCUCUCUACUUUCCCAUCAGGAUUCUAUUUUAUUGUAUACACCCAUUUGCAACCAACCACCUUCUUAUCCACAGGGAAAUGUACAAGAUCCCAAGUUUUAUUCUUCUUAUCCACAGGGAAAUGUACAAGAUCUCAAGUUUUAUUCUUCUCUAGAGCUGCUAAUUCUUCAAGCAUGGCCUCUUUCCACUUCGGGUUUUGUUUCGCUUCCUUCCAAUCUCUUGGAAUUUCUAUGGAUUGUAAUGAUGUAACAAAUGUUCUAUAUGCAGUAGACAAUAAUUCAUAUAAGACAUAAUUGCUUAUAUCAUGCUCAAAGCCAUACCUUAUUGCAGGUUUCCCAGCUUUAAUCCUCGCUUCCUUUCUUAGAGCAAUGGGUAAAUCAACCGAAGGAUCGACUUCUUCUUCCCCUCUCUCAAUAGACUGAUCAUCCUCGUUACUAUAGCAACAUUGACACCACCAGCUGAAGACUGUUGUUGCUCCACCUGUGGUAGGUUGCUCUUCUUGCUGCUCCACCAACUGUGGUCGCUCAACUUGCUUCUCUACUGGUUGUAAUUCAGCAGUUCUCUUUCUUCUGGUAUAAACCUUCAAAGUGCCUUGUUCUUGCCUUGGGUUCAUGUUUUCAAUGUCCCUAUUUUCUUGCCUCUCAUUCACAUGGGACCCUCUUGACCAUCCAGACUCAUACUUGGAUCACCAAGUUCAAAUAAGGAACUCAAAUCAGUUUUCUCUCCAUAAUAGGGUUCAAAUUCUCGAAAUGUCACAUCCAUACUUGUAAAGAGUCAUCGUUCAGGAGGACACUAACAGUUGUACCCCUUUUGACUUGAUGAAUAACCCACAAAUAUACACUUAACUGCUCGAGGAUCUAGCUUUCCCACAGCAGGCCUAUGAUCCCUGACAAAGCAAGUACACCUAAAUACCCUAGGGGGAACACUAACACUACUAGAAAAAUGACCUUUCAUCUCUAGCCUUAGUACCAGUUGAUUUUGAAUCCAGUACUAAUGCUAACAUUAGUACCGGUUUCAAAGUUGGGAGCCCCCGGAGGCCCUCUAGUACUGGAUGGGGACUCCAUCUCGUACUAGAGGUGACCCUCUAGUACCGGAUGGAGCUACCAACCGGUACUAGAGCUACCGGAUGGAGCUACCAACCGGUACUAGAGCCUCUAGUACCGGUUGGUAGCUCCAUCGGUACUAGAGGGUCACCUCUAUUACCGGAUGGGCUUACCUACCGGUACUAGAGGCUUCUCCCGCGUCUGCCUCGAGGACUUAGAAUUUUUAGCUAUCUUCCUCUCUCUCCUGCCACCGCACAGCACAACGCAGCGCCUUAUCUCCUCCAAUCCCUUCCUCCUUCUCUCCUCUCUUCCGCACAGCACAGCGCCCUCUUCUCUCUCCCUCCCACUCCUCUUCUCUCCAUUCUUCUCUCCCUCCUUCUCCCUCCCACUCCUCUUCUCCAUCGGCACCCGCGCCCCUCUCCCUCCCGCUCCUCUUCUCCAUCGGCGACCGGCUCCCUCCCUCCCUCUAGUGCGCCCUCUCCCUCAGCCUCCCACACCUCCCCCCUUCGGUCGCCCCUCACCUCGUGCCUCGAGUGAGGAGCGCCGGCGGGGCGAGGCGAGGCGCGGUGGCGGUGGCGGCUUGGUGGCGCGGCUGGAUGCACGCGGCGGCAGGAUGUGCACCCCCCCGCUCUCUCUCUCUCUCUCUCUCCCCCUCUCUCUAGAUCUGCAGGAUGUGGUGGCGGGAUGGCAGCGGCGGCGGGGGGGGGGGGGGGGGGGCGAGUGGAGGAUGAGGGGGCCGGGAGGAGGAGGAGACGGGGGUGGAGGGGGCCGGCGUGGGGAGGGGUGGUGGAGGAGGGAGCCGAGGAGGAGGCGGCGGGAUGGCAUGGGCGGCGAUGGGGGCGAAUGGAGGCGGAGGGGGCUGGGAGGAGGAGGAGGCCAGAGCCGGAGCUGGCGGCAGGGGUGGAGGGAGGAGGAGCCGGUGGGGGUGGGGGUGGCGGCGGGGGUGGGGGCGGGGCCAGGACCGGGGGGAUUUUGUUUUUUUUUUAUUUUUUAAUACCCUCUGUUACCGAUUAUUCGAACCAGUACUGGAGGUACCCCUCUAGUAUCGAUUGGUUAGUACCGGUUGGCCAACCGGUACUAGAGGGGGUUCACAACCGGUAGUAAAUCCACGUUUUCUAUAGUGUAAACUCAUUCAAUCCUCAUAACAUCUCAUAAGGAAUUUUCCAGCCAAGCAAUCUUGAAGGUGUACGAUUAAUCAAAUACACUGCUGUCAUCACCGCCUCACUCCAUAGGAACUCAGGCACAUUCAUAGUAUACAUAAGUGAACAUGCAAUCUCCAGGAUAUGACGAUUUUUCCUUUCUGCUACUCCGUUUUGUGGAGGCGUAUCUGGAUAAGUGGUUUGGUGGAAUAUCCCUUGAGCUGAUAGAAAGUUUCCAAACUCAUUGUUCACAUAUUCUGUACCAUUAUCUGUCCUCAAUACCUUAACCCGAGCAUCAUAUUGAUUCCCAAUAAAUGAGCAAAAAUCCCGAAAGCAUUUAAGUACUUCACUUUUGUGUCUCAUGAGAUAUAUCCAAGUCACACGUGAAUAGCAGUCAAUAAAGGUCACAAAGUACUUCAUUUCACUAAUGGAGGUGACUGGGCAAGUCCACACAUCAGAGUGAAUAAGCAUAAAGGGAGACAUACUCCGAAGUCCCCUGCUUAUAUUUGUUGCUCUUGUAUGUUUUCCAUACUCACAUGCAUCACACACAAGUUUCUUCUUAUUUGCCUUGCUCAUUAUUUCUGGGAAUACUUUGGCCACAGUAUCAAAUGAUAAAUGGCCUAAUCGACAGUGUUGGACUAUCACCUUAGCUUCAUCUUCAUUCAUAUUUGCUGUCAGAGCAGCACCAAAAAUCUCACCAUCUCCUCUUCGAUCCAGGUACCAGAGACCACCGCGCCUAAUCCCAAAUCCAAGUUCCUUUCCAAUUUUUCUAUCUUGAAUGAGACAAUGCUCCCGAUCAAAUGAAACACGACAAUCCAUUUGAUCACUUAGUGACAUUAGAUUAACUGGAAAGGAGGGAACAUGCAAAACAGAUGAUAGCAUAAUUGAUGGAGAGCACUUGAAUGUAUACCAGUCCCCUUAAUAGGUUGGCGUGCCCCAUCAGCUGUCUGAAUGGUUUCCUUAUAUGUGGAUGAAUAUGGAGUAGACGAUACAAACUCAUCCAAUGCCCCGUAACAUGUCUAGAUGCACCAGAAUCUAGUAUCGAAUUUGCAUAAGAUGUACCUGUACUAGGCCGAGCAAGGUUGGCGUGGUUGCCAAGAACCAUUGAUGUCUCCUCUCUUCGUGAGAACAAUUGUUCUUCUUGAGAAGCUAUCAUUAGUUCUUAUCUCUUCGCCAAAAAUAUUUGGGCCAUCCUCUCGAGCUCCUUUGCCGUAAGAAUUUCAGCCAACAUCUCAAACACCUGCUCAAUUCUUCUGCUCUCUGCCAUUGCUUAACUGCUACCCUCGAACUACACAAAUUGCACAGCAGCCUCAACCAGUCAGAAAACACCGCCUCCAAUUUCACGUGCACAGCAGCACCCAGUCAACAAUUUCUUCACUUCUCACUCUCCGAGCACUUCCACCAGCUACCAGAUAUGGCGCUGUCCUCUUCUCCUUUAGCCCCUCUUCAAUUGACGUAGCAAUCAACAGCUCAAAACUCCCUUAUCCUCACAGCCACUUCACCAAGCAGUGCCACAGCUCACGGCUGCCCUCAGCUUGCACACACGCUGCUGCCUCCUCACGCAGAAUCACCAAAUUUGCCCUCGCCGUCGCCUGCAAUGCAAGAACUGACAACAAAUCCAGCACAACCUCCUCCUGCAAAAUCCUCACAGAUUCCACCGCCGUCGACAGUAGGCUCUGCUCAGGCUUGUCGUCACCCACUCCUCUAGCUGCGCCCUUCUGUGUCAGAGAUUACCGGAGAUCGCCGGAGAAACGUUGUCAACUACAACGCCGGCGAGCUCGAGUGCACACAGAAAAAACUCACGCGAACACCUGGGAACACGAUCUUCUUUUUGUGCUGUUAACCAACAGCGUUUUUCCUGGACUCCAUUUGCUUAUAUAGGAAACGAUUACAACUACGCAGUGGCAGUGACCUCCUGCAUGUGUGGCAUGCUCUUCAUCAGUGAAUGCCAUCCCAACCACCUGGAACGUGCGGCACGACGCGCUCCCUCGCGAACGACGCGCGAGUCAGAGCACACGACGCGCACAGCUCUAACAACCUGCCGUGCGCCUGACUGAACCAACGACUAAGCAAACUAGCUAAGCACAAGAGUUAUUCAACAAUUCUCCUCCUAAGUCUUGUGCACAGAAACUACUUACAGAUGCAUAGGCCAAUCUUGGCGCAGAGCUCCUGGAACUUCGUCUUGCAGAGUGGUUUUGUGAGUAUAUCACCAAGCUGCUCAUCAGUCCUAAUAAACUACACUUCGAUCUGCCCGUUCUGUACAUAAUCCCGGAUUGCAUGAAACCUUGUAUCAAUAUGUUUGCUCCGGUCAUGAUGCACAGGAUUCUUGACAAGAGAGAUUGUGGACUUGUUGUCCACCCUAGGCACUGGCUUGCUUAUUUCUGUUCCUAGAAUUUCAGCCAGUACUCUUGCUAACCAGACAGCCUGACAGGAAGCAGUGGCUAACACCAAGGAAGAAAAUGACUCCAGAAGUGCUCUUUCUACUGUCCAAAUCCCCAGCCAGGUCACUAUCACUGAAGCCCAACAGUUCAGCCCUUUCUCCUUUCUUCCUUGGGUAGAAAACACCCCUGUCACUUGUUCCAGCUAUGAACCUCAGUAUAUGUUUCACAGCUGUGAGAUGCUCCUCAUGAGGCUCCUCCAUGAACCUGCUCACAUACCCAACUGGGAAGGCCAGAUCAGGUAUGGUAUUGACCAGGUACCUCAAACUCCCAACUAAACUCCUAUAAUCAGUAGCAUCAACACAUGGACCACUGUUGUUCCUACUCAGUUUCAGCUUUGGCUGCAUAGGCACCUGACAGGGAUUGCAAUCCAGCAACCCACCUUUCUCCAGGAUCUUCCUUGCAUAGCUUCCCUGAGACAAUGUAAUCCUAUCUACACUUUGCUUCACCUCAAUGCCUAGAUAGUAAGAGAGUAACCAAGGUCACUCAUCUUGAACACUUCUGCCAUCUGUACCUUGAAUUUCUUGAUGCCGCUGCUGCUCGUGCCAGUAAUCACCAAAUCAUCAACAUAAACCCCCACAACCAACCUAUCUGCAUCAUUUCCCCGACAGUAUAUGGCGUGCUCUGAUGGGCAUUUCUUGAAUCCCAAAACAACCAAUUUCUCAUCUAAUUUCUGAUUCCAGGCGCAAGGAGCUUGAUGCAAACCAUACAGAGCUUUGUGUAGUCUGAGUACCUUAUGUUCUUGCCCGGACAGAACGUAUCCCGGCGGCUGCUCCACGAACACCUCCUCCUAAACAUCACCGUUCAAGAACGCCAUCUUGACGUCCAUGUGGUGGACUUCCCAGUCCUCAUGCGCCGCCAACGCCAACAACAACCUUACUGUUUCCAUCCUUGCCACCGGUGCAAACACUUCAUCAUAGUCGACGCCUUGGCGCUGUGCGUACCCUUUUACGACAAGCCGCACCUUGUGCCUGACCACAGCGCCGUGCUCGUCCUUCUUCACCUUGAACACCCACUUGAGUCCUAUAGCCUGCCGGCCUUGAGGCAGCUCAGUGAGGGUCCAAGUGCGGUUCUCCUCAAUUGACUGCAGCUCCUCCUCCAUCGCCCGAUGCCAGCACGCCUCCGUCUUCGCUUGCGCCAGGGAUGCAGGCUCCUCUGCACUCACCGCCAGCAGCCUGCCGUCGCCCAGAUCACGAACUGCAUAGCCCGGUGGAGAACCUGGGCCGAUGACAUCCUCCAUUGCACGAAACCGUAGUGGUGCGUCUUCAUCAUGAUCAGCAUCCAGAACCUCAUCCAGAUCCUGCAGUGGGGAGACGAACUGCACGCCACUUGGCGUUGUCGCUGGCGUGCUGGUGCCGCUCGGCCAUGUUGAUGUUGAGGCAGAGGGGUUCGAUGGCGUUCCCAGCUCCGCUUCCGGUGCGUCCUCCUGACCGCCGUGGCUGGACAUCGUCGUGAGCUCGACGGUGAAUAUGUCGUCACCUUGUACCGCUUGAAUAUCCUCCUCCGCAUGAUCACCAGUCCCACUGGCCGUCUUCAUCGAACACCACGUCCCUCGUAAUGUGAACACGGCGCUCCAUAGGAUCGUAUGCCCGGAACGCCUUGGAGCCACGCUCGUAGCCGACGAAGAUCAUCUUGCGCCCGCGAUCCUCGAGCUUCUAGAGAUGAGGCUUCGUGUUCCGCACGUAGACGAUGUAGCCAAAAACCUUCAGGUGGUGAACCACCGGCUUCUUCCCAUACCACGCCUCGAACGGAGUCAUCCCCUCGACGCUCUUCGUUGGUGUUCGGUUCAGCAGGUACACAGCGGUUUGCACCGCCUCUCCCCAGAACCAGCCCAGCAGCCCCUUCGCCUUGAGCAGACUGCGCGUGGUUCCGACCACCAUGCCGUUCCAGCAUCCGAUGACGCCAUUCUGCUAUGGACAGGAUGGUGCUGUCAGUUGGCAUUGAACUCCGUCGGCCGCACAGUGCUCCAUGAAUGCCGCUGAAGUGAACUCCCGCUGCGGUCCGUGCGGAACGCCCUCAGCUUGCAACCGGACUCCGCCUUUGCGCGCGCUUGGAACUCCUUGAUGGCCGCCGCAGCUCGGUCCUUGGACGGCAGCAGCGUCGCCCACAUGUACUGGCUUCGGUCGUCCACCAAUAGUAGGAAGUAGCUGUUGCCGCUCGGCGUCGCCAGGGUGAUGGGCCUGCACAGGUCGUCGUGCACAAGCUCCAGAACAUGCCGUGCACGGUACUCCGCCCGCUCCGGGAAUGAGGUGCGCCUCUGCUUUCCAGCCAGACACGCCUCGCACAGCUGAUCCACCUGUUCCACUGCCGGCAGGCCGCGCACCAGCUCCUCCCGAGCCAUUCUGCGUAGUGCCACCAUGUUGACGUGGCCCAGCCAUGCGUGCCAGCACUAGGCAUCUUCCUUGCCGCACGCUGCCAAGCAAACAGGCUGUGCAAUGUUGAUGUUGAGCACGUACAGCCUGUUCGCCGUGUGCGAGACCUUCGCCAACAGCCUCCCGGAUCUUCAUCACGCCAUUGUCGAUGUCGAUCUUGUAGCCCACCUCAUCGAGCUGCCCAACACUCACGAUGUUUGUCGUGAGAUUGGGAAUGUAGUAGAUGCCAGCAAAGGCUCUGUGCUCGCCAUUCUUGCACGCAAAGAGAACGGUACCGCAGCCUUCGAUUCUCGCCACGAAAUCAUCGCCGAACCGCACCGUGCCGCACACGGCCGUGUGCAGCUCCGCGAAUGCUGCUCGGGACCCCGACAUGCGGUUCGUGGCCCCGAUGUCCAGCACCCACGUCUUGGUGUCCUGCUCCUCCUUCUCCCCGAGCUGCACGAACACCUUCUCCUCGCACAGCUGCACUGGAGCACGAGCACUCAAACUGGAGCCGCCAUCCUUGCGUACUGGAUCUGCUCCUGCGCCCGCUUCUCGGCGUGGGGUCCCUGGGAAGGGAUCCCCCCCCCCCCCCCCCCCCCCCCCCCACACACACACACACACACACCAGAACUGGGAGCCGAGCCUGUGAGGGGCCCGAGACGUCACCGGCGAGGCUGGCGGUGGCGGCGUGGUGGAGCGCCGCCGGUCUGGAAUCGGCGCGGGCGGCGGUGGCCGCGUGGUGGUGAGCCGCCGGUCUGGAGUCGGAACAGCACGGGGAAUCAGCAGCAUUGACCGGAGAAUGAGCAACAAUGCCUCCUCUUCUUCAUGGAUCACGUGGGCCUGCUCCUUCUUGGGCCUGGAUGGGCACUCACGGGCCCAAUGGCUAGACUUCCCGCACUGUCGGCACUCGUCCUUGCCGAUGGUCCUGCCGGAGUUGUUCGCCGACCUGCUGGAUGACGACGUCGCACUGCUGCCGCCACGCCUCUUUCCACGCCCACGCUGCGUACCGCGACGCGCAGAGCUCCCGCUCGCGCCACCGCUUCCCUGGUUCUCCGAGUCACGCCGCCUCCUUCUGGUCUCCCAUUCUUCCUCCGUCAAGUACAGCUUCCCGUCGACUUGCAUCGUCGGCGGUGGUGCUUCGAAGGCCUCCUCCGCAGCCUUCAGGCUCCCUAUCAGCUUGGUGACAGUGAGCGUCGCCGAGUCGAGGAGGGUCUGGAUCGCCAGGAUGAUUUGCUUGAACCCCGCCAGCAUACUGCGAAGCAUCUUCUCCACGACCUUCACCUCCUCCACUGGUUCUCCGAGAGUUGAGAGAUUGGCCGCCAUGCCAUUUAGACGGAGCGGGUAAUCCUCCACCGACUCUGUCUCCUUGCAUGUCGCCAAGUUGAAUUGACGACGAAGCUGCUGAGCCGUAGACUUCUUCACCCGGUCAUCGCCGACGCGCAUGGUGGCAAUGGCAUCCCACGCCUCCUUCGCCAUCUUCUUCUCGACGAUCGUGGACACUAUUUCCGUCAGUAUGGCACUGCAGAUUGCAUCGAGCGCCGUCAUGUCCUCCAUUGGAUCGACGCCGCCAGCAUCGACCGCGGCCCAGAGUCUGUGGGCCUUUAGCUUCACCUUCAUGAGGAGCACCCAGUCGGAGUAGUUGUUCUUGGUGAGGGUGGGGUAGCUAGUCCCGCCGGCCACCUCACAGACCACCCGCUGCACCACGACGCCCUCCUUGCUGCCGCUCGAACCAUCGCCCUUGACGCCACUCGAUCCGCCGCCCUUCUCUGUCAUCGACGGCGGUAGUGUAGGGCCUGUCAUGAGCGCCUACCUGAUUGCGCGGUCUCGAUUCCAAUGACGAUAUUGCGCCGCGAUCGACUCCCGGUCCGCAACCGGCUCUGAUGCCACUUGUCAGAGAUUACCGGAGAUCGCCGGAGAAACGUUGUCAACUACAACGCCGGCGAGCUCGAGUGCACACAGAAAAAACUCACGCGAACACCUGGGAACAAGAUCUUCUUUUUGUGCUGUUAACCAACAGCGUUUUUCCUGGACUCCAUUUGCUUAUAUAGGAAACGAUUACAACUACGCAGUGGCAGUGACCUCCUGCAUGUGUGGCAUGCUCUUCAUCAGUGAAUGCCAUCCCAACCACCUGGAACGUGCGGCACGACGCGCUCCGUCGCGAACGACGCGCGAGUCAGAGCACACGACGCGCACAGCUCUAACAACCUGCCGUGCGCCUGACUGAACCAACGACUAAGCAAACUAGCUAAGCACAAGAGUUAUUCAACAUUCUGCUACUUGUGCACAGCACGCCUCCACGCACAGCACGAGCUCCACCUCCUUGCCUCCGCUGCCGCGCGCUCCUCUGGCUGCGCAAGCUCGACCCAGCCGCCGCUGCCGCCAAAGGGAACGAGAACGGCAACCCGCUGCCUCUCACGGUCUCACCCCCUGCAGCAAUCGAGCUUCCUUGCUCUCACCACGGCGGAAUCGCCACCACGGUCGCCGCCGACGAACCUAGCCCUGAUGCCAUGUUGAUUUCUGGAAAAUGUCAGAUCCUAGUCUCUUCCAGUGUUCCUCUUUGCUAUGCAUGUACACACCGAUAUGGGCUGGGCCUGGCCCAAUACAUACAUAACUCAACAGCUUCCUUCAUGCAGCAUGGCAACAAUUAAUCUACUGUGCAUAUUCCAAUGGAUACCAAUCAAAUAAACAAUGGCCUGGCGAGGGCGUAGGCACAAAAUCAGCUACUAUUUACCCAAAUAGCAUAUGAUCACAUAAACAAUUGGGUUGCUCAAUUUUUUUUAAAAAAAAUGCUAUUUACCAUUAUAUUGUACAAUUCUCCAAAAGAGCGGCAACAUCCUUUCGGCAGAUCCUUGGAUUGCCCUGUACUACGCGUGUAUCAUCACAGAUAGCUAGAUGAGCUUGCUUUUUACCCCCGCGAUAGCCCCGUCGUCUCUCCCUCUCCUGUGGUGGGCGACGGCGACCGGCCUACCAGUAGUACUAGUACCAGUUGUGUUGCGUGCAUGACCAACACUACGGGAAACAGAACCUUUGGCACUCGGCAAAGGCCUAAAAACACUCGGCAAAGCCUUUACCGAGUGUAACACUCGGCAAAGAGCACACGGCAAAUGUUGUGUCGGCAAAGACUAGUUCGCCGAGUGUCAAAACUCGAACACUCGGCAAAUAUGUUGCCGACGGCCAAAAAACACUCGGCGAAAAGAUGUACUCGGCGAAUUGCGGACUGACGGCGUCAGGUAACGGCGGGUUUGCCGAGUGCCAAACGGGAGGCACUCGGCAAACACCGGGUCUUUGCCGAGUGCCAACACUCGGCAAAGACUGGGAGUUUGCCGAGUGUCAGGCGCCUGGCACUCGGCAAACACGGUCUCUUUGCCGAGUGCCAGCUCCCGGGCACUCGGCAAAGCCCGCGCCUUUUGCCGUGUGCCGGGUGACGGGCACUCGGCAAACCGGCCCCCUUUGCCGAGUGCCCUGACCGUAGCACUCGGCAAAGGACCUUUCCUACACCUGGGAAAUGCCCCUUUGCCGAGUGCUAUGGUCAAGGCACUCGGCAAAGGCCCCUCUUUGCCGAGUGUAACACUCGGCAAAGUGACCAGAACCGCCCCUUUUUCGACCUUUUGCCACGUAUAACGGACCCCUCUCAAUUCACAAUACACAUAUCACAGACAUUUAUAAUAAACAACCACAUGGAUAAUUCACAACCACAGGCAUAAUUCAUAAACAUCACAGGCAUAAUUCAACAUAAGCACGAAAUAAUCCAUAAAUCCAAGUUCUUGUCACAAUUUAGUUUCCACAUUGUUCACAACCAAGUCUACUUCCGUGGAGGCCAAGGAGACCACUGCGACAAAUCUUGAUCUUCAUUAUUCGAAGCCGCCGAUUGAUUCUACACAUAGGAUAGGACAUUCUGAGGUAACAUCUAAAGUUGUCAAAUUUAAACUAUUGAAUCUUAAGCACAAUGUGUCAAGUGACUCACAGGAGUAGUCGUGGGUGGCUGAGGCGGAGGGAACAUCAUCGGCGGUGGCGGAGGCAAAGACUGUCCCAUGCUCGUAGCAAAGUUCUGCAUGUACUGGAACAUCUGCUCCAUCCUAAUCCGGUUUUCCUCCUCCAUCCUCCGCCGCAUUUCCUCCAUCUGCACCUCCAUCUGCGCCUUAAUCUCCUCUUGUGCCUUCCUUGAUUCUUCCACCUGGGCCUACAAUAUUUCAUUGCAAUGUUAUAAUGCAAAGCUAAAGUAUAACAACAAACGGACGAUGAAUGGAAGAGAAAGAACCUGUAGAGCCUCCAUCUGGAACUGUGCAGCGGUGGGUCGUGGGCGUACCGCCGGGCUCGAGUUCGUGCUCCUAGCUCGGAUCUAGGAGAGAGAGGGAGUAGAGGCCGUGUCGAUGACGCCGUCGCCAAUCCAAUAUCGGCCAUGCUUCUUGCCUCCUCCCACCCUCAUCACGAUUUCUCCAUCAAUGUCCUCGGAGAUCGGAUCGAAGUCUGGCCCGUGAACCUCCCUAGCCAUCUUUGUAUACUCGCUGACGCGACUGUAUAUGCUAGGGUGGCUGUACGCCUCGGACGGGUCGUCUGGGUUGAAAUCUAUAUCGGCCGUCGCCUUGCCCUUUUUGGAGAGGACCCAUGCCUUGAGCUGGGAGCAAGGUCGGCCAUCAUGUGACGCCGACUGCGGCAAAAUACAAAAUCAUUAAAAAUUACGUAGAACUGAACAUUACAAUAAAGAAUUGAAGUUGCCUACCCAUUUUUCUCUAUAUUCAUCAAGGCUUAGGCUGCCUUGAUGGUGUGAUGCAGUCGGCAUCUGCAAACGCCGCUGCCGGCAAGAAAGGUGGUUCUCCAACCACCCGGGCUCCAACCACACGUCGACCAUCCUCUCCCAGCACGGCAUAUGCGCACGACACCACCACGGAGGCACCUACAUCAUCAAGCGUGUGACGUAUGAAAAAGAAAAUGAGCCUAAUUAAUCAUAAAUAGUAAGCAUCAACGUUCUUUACUUACCCUCAUGAAUUGGUCCUUAGUCAUGUUCAUUGUUCUUGCCUCCUCUUUUCUAACCUUCGUACGAUUGUAUUGAGCGUUGAAUUCUAUGAUGGCCUGGAUGCGCGCCUCGUAAUGCAUGUCCCUCACGAGCUUCUUGGCGGCUACAUCACAGACGGCCUUCGCCUUGGCCUCGAACCCCUCCUGGCAUCUAUAGAAGUCCUGCAUAUACACGCGUAUACAGUUAUUAUUUCAAGAAUGUCGAAAGUAGCUGAUGUAUUGAGCAAUUUAGUACGAGGAGUACUUACCCACAGCUCGGCCUUGACCCGCUCUGCUAUGUUGGGGAAUCUUCUCUGUUGACGAUCAGGGACGUCGGGGGCGGCGACGUAGUGGUCCCACGUGUAGGCCGGCUGCAGCUGUCCGGCGUACACCACCAAGCCAGGGAAGUGAACCCUGCAUAAAAGGCCAAGGAUCCCGUUGGCCUUACGGUUGUGGUCACCCCCGCUGAGCUUAAUCCAACUCCUGCACAAGUCAUUAAUAUGAAUUAUUAGUUUUUGUAACUUUCAACAUAAGAACAAUAUUAAGAAUAUUUAAAGUUACUUACUUGGUCCCAACCGGUUUAAUGAGCGGGCGUAAAUGCUCAGGUAUCAGCCGCUUCGGGAGGGAUGAGGGACCUCGCAACCAUAUCUUGGACUGGGCAUCCCCUGCCUCCCCGUCCCCCUCCUGCUCCUGCUGCUCCUCCUCCUCCGCCUCCUCGUCCCCAGAGGCGUGUGCGGAAGGUACCUCCUCCUCCUCCUCCUCCUCCUCCUCCUCCUCCUCCACCUCAGGUUCAGGCGACGGGGGCCUGGCCGCUUUACCCUUCCCUUGAGGCCUCUGGACCACCACCACCUCCUCCUCCUCCUCCUCAACCCUACGUCGACGCCUGCCUCGACGCCUCCCUCGACCGCUCCCUGAACGUGACCCUGACCCCGAACCAGUCCCUGCCGCGGCCAGUCUCUCGCAAAUCGACGUGAGCUUCCUGAUACCGCCUACCAUUGCUUAAUGACCUGCAAUUAAAAAGAGUACACGAGUCAGCAUAGGCAAACAAAACAUAAUUACAAAUUUAGGCAAAUUAUAAUUAAAUUAUAGCUAAAUUAUUACGAAUCAUACAUGUAUUAGAAAUAAUCAUCAUGAUCGGGAUUAGCUGGAUCAUAAGUCUCAUCAUCACUAUCACGCGUGUCGAUAUAGUCAAGCUCGUGCUCCGAAGAAGGAAUGUCGUCAUCACUGUCAUUAGCUAACUGUAAUCGUUGAAGUAAUUCUAAGUCCUUCACAUUCUGAACCUCGUCUCCACCGUCCUCUGCAGCAACCCUCUCAUUGUCUACUUCCAUUCCGAUCGCUUCGGUUAAAUCUAUCACAAAACUCCCUUCGAGCCCAUCUUCUUGGAAUAACUCUCCUUCGUAUGUGUCGGGAUCUAUAUUGUAAUCUUCAUUGUUUGGUACAGGUAGUUUGCCGUGUGGCGAUACCUUGUACACAACAUCCCAACCCUUAAGACGGCUGUCGGUUUGGCACUGGUAUGACAAAUAAUAAACUUGCGUGGCCUGUUAAGCCACAAUAUAGACAUCGUCUCCUGAUAACCUGGAUGACUGUCGAAUUUCGACUAGCCCAAGGUUAGGGGCCCGUCUCACGACAGAUGGAUCAAACCAAUGGCAUUUGAAUAUAACUGGAUUAAGAGGUUUGCACCCAUGAAAAGUGAGUUCGUAUAUUUCUUCAAUUCUUCCGUAGUACUCGACCCCAUCGGAGCCUGGCGUGAAAACUCCGGUAUUUGUGGUUCUUCGAUUGGGCCGACUCUGCUCGUGCCUUGUUGUAUGAAACCUAUAUCCGUUGACGUCAUAACCGGCAAACGACCUGACUCUAUAGUCACAGCCAUCGGCAACCUGUCUCAACUCGACAUUCAUAGACGCAUCGGUUCGGCCCUGCAAGUACGAACAGGGCGGUUCGUUAUAUUAAUCGUAUGCACGAGAACGAGAAUGUUCGCGGAAAUGAAAUUGUACCUUCUGUUUGAACCAAGAAAUGAAAUCGGGCAUUCCAUUUCCCGCACCCUCUUUAAGAAGAGUCUCAGCUUCGUGCGGGGCCGGUUGCCUUGAUUUACGCCAGAAUUGACGAUGAAAUUGCCUAUGCCAACGAGAAAGAUACGUUUAGGCAAGAGAUACCAUUAAUACGUCGAAACAAGUUUGUCGAUGACUUACAUCAUGUACGGCUCCACUUCAGAUAGGUUGGUCAACACAUACAGCAUGAUAGAGCGCCACUCUUCAUGGUUAAGGGUCUUGCGGGUCGCACCACUUGCACUUCCGAGUUGCCCUCGGAAAAUGCUAAGGCUUAAUUCAUCUUCGCUAGCAUUGUAACGAGGAGGUGGAUUAUGCACGCUAGGAAGGUUGUCAGCGUAGUAUUUCGAUGUGAAGUUUGACACCUCCUCCAGAAUGUAUGCCUCUGCAAUGGAUGCUUCAAUUUUGCACUUAUUCUUACAUUUAGUUCGAAGAACCUUUUGACAUCUCUCAAUUGAGUAGCACCAACGACCCUGCACAUGCCCUCCCAUUCGUGCUUCAUACGGGAGGUGUAGAAUCAUAUGCUGCAUUGGAUUGAAGAAGCCUGGAGGAAAGAUCUUCUCCAACUUACAGAGCAACACAGGCGCCAUUGUUUCCAUUUCUGCAACCACGGUACGAGAUAACUCCUUCGCACAAAGCCGGCGGAAGAAAUUGCUCAACUCCGCUAGCACCUGCCACACAUGCUCAAGGAUAUAGCCUCGAACCAUCACCGGAAGGAGACGCUCAAGCCAUAUAUGGUAAUCAAAACAGAGGAACUGCUUCCAAAGCAUGGACACGGACAUGACUCCCAGCGUGAGCCGACCAAAUGCGUUCUUUCAGUCGUUCUGCAUCUGUGUUACAGUACCUCAACUUUUUACCUCAAAAUGUGUUUGUAGCUGUCAUGUUUCACCAGUGGUCUAGAUCGUCUAGACCCUACCUACCGUGCCCUUGCACUUUUUGAUAACUAUAUGGCAGUUCUUAUGGGUAGAAAGAGUUUGGUUCUCUCAUUCCCCGUUUAUUCUCUUAUACGGGAAUCAUCUUUCAUAAUUUUCGAAUUUCAUAUAUGAGUGCUGCAGCAUAUCUGUUUUUCAUUUCAUGUCACGUGGGGCUCGGGCAAGGUGCGACGAGGUGAACCCGGCAUAUGGCGGCGAUGCUUGUCGAGCACAGGCACAUGGGGCGUCACGUAGGGCUUGUUUGGAUUGAGCCUGCAAAAUCUGCCUGUGCCAAGUAGCUGAUCCAGGCGCUCGAUUUCGUGAGCCUAGGGCUAGGAUUGCUGCCUGAGCGCAGCUGCCUGGCUCAGUUCUGCAUCCAAACAAGCCCUACAUGCCUGGCGCAAAUGCGAUGGUUAAUUUAAUUUGUAUUAUUUUUUAUUUGUAUCAAUUUGAUUUGUAUUAUUGAUGUUGCAAAAAUUAAUUUAAAAUGUUGCAUACUUUAUUUCUCUGAUGUUGUAAAUUUUGUUUUUCAUUCUUGCUAUGCUAUGAUUAAUGUUCAAUCAGCUGGACAUUCGGCCACGGCAAAAAAAAAAGAAGAAGAAGAAAGAAAAAGUAACCAGUAUCCCUCGCGGUCCCCGCUGCUCCUAGUGGGCUGUGGCCUGUGGCGAUGUACAGGCGCAUGCAGUUGCAGUUGCAGCAACUUCACCUUGCGCCUUGUGGGGAUGGGAAGAGAAAAUGAGCCUUGGAGCAUGUAGGCACCAAACACCAUGAAAUCCAUGAUCCGAUCCCAAGGUGUUUUGAGCUUUUCGAAGUUUUUCAUGGUCCCCAAGCAAGAAACAAGUGGUUGGGAUCGACCUCCAAGCUGACACGUGGGUGGCUCCGAUAAAAAAUACCUCCAUAAAUGUCAUGGAAUAUGCAUCAUCAGACAUGCUGCCAGCAGCUCGUAUGGGACACCCUAUCCUGCGCCAGGCCAGCAGCACUAGUAUCAUAAAUCACCGUGGCACCAUGUAAUUGGAUUCAUAUUUCUAGUGAAAUUAUGUCGAAUUUGUACAUGUAGAUUUUAGCAAUUUAGCUUGUAUACUACCGCUCAUAAUAUUUGUUAUUAAAUUAGGAACUAGAAGGAGUAGGACACAACCUUCGUUAGGAAGGCAUUUGCGGGAAGUGGGUUGUUGUAGCCCCGGUAUUAGCUCAACUCUAAAUGAUCUGACCAAGUGGGAUAAAGCCCGUUCCGUUGUUCAAUUAGAUAUUCUACUAGUCUUCCUUUUGCUUGUCGAAGACAUGCCAAUUAACAAUUGUCGGAAUUUUUCUAGAAUUCACUUUAUAAUCAUACUUCACUAUGACCAAUUCUUUGUUGGGACUAACAAACUUUGUAAUUGUAUAGUCUCACUAAAUACAUUCACAAUGUACGCAAUAGAACUAAAAGACGACAUAUCACACUAUUAUAAAAAUGCUCAUAUUAAACAUCUUGUUUGUCAUAGAUUUUUUUAAAUGUAAAAGAAGGAUUUCACGGUUGGUACACAACAAUCUUUGUUUCAAUAGAAUUAUGUUUUGCAAGUUGAGAAUAUAUAAUGUGCAAAAAAUAGAGUUCACGUCACGGUUAUUUUCAAUAAGCGUGCGAGAAACCCAAGUGUUUGGCCAAGAAUACUUCAAAUUUUAUCCACCAUAUACUUCACUCUACCAUAGUACGUGAACAUGUGAUACGUAAACAUGAACGAGAUGUGCUCGAAUCUUAAGACUUGUGCAAAGGCAACCGCACAAGGUUGGUGCAGAGCAAGAGAUUUUCUCAGAGUUCCAAUCAAGUGCAGAAAUCUAGCGGAAAAAAAGCACCACAUGCACCACAAGCCGAACUAGAUCCGUACGAAUCUUAGGAUGUGUUUGGUUCUGAUGUUGUUUGCCUCGCUCUGCCUCACCUCGUUGGCGCAUCGAGGAGCUUGCCGGGAUGGGCUAGCCGAUUUGGCUCUCCCACGGGAGCAAGCCAAAUCUUGCCCGCACAAGCUCCAAGGCACUCAGGCAAGGAAACCAAGCGGGAGCGCUUGCUCGCUUGGCAAGGUGAUAUAUGUAAUCUCCGAAUAAAACAGAGGCAUCCGAGAGCCCAAGUUACUGUUAACAAAUGAAAUCGUGACGCGUAUGCUACGUUACUACCACGUGCGCAGGCACAGAGUCAAGCAGUCAACAUAACCUCUACGCGUCGUCUGUGUCCGGUCACAAAAUCGACGACUCCACACGCAUCCCAUCCAACUCCUCUUCUUCCUUGUUCGCCUCGCAGGCUCGCAGCGUCGCCGGAAAGUGUCCUCCAACUUCUCCGGCUCAUCCCCGCACCCAUCUUCCUUCACCGCCUGGGCGGACGUUGCCUCCUCACCUUGCGUUUUGCACUGUUGCCGGGCUCCUCCAAGCCGCCGCUCCGGCUCCAACUCAUCUAGUAGUGAAGUGGAAUGCUGCCAAACACCCCUCUAGUAAAACCGAGCAAAGGAAGCAAACGCGCUCUUAGGUUCCACAUGAGACAGCAAGUAGCAGAGAGGUACCGUUGCCAGCGACGGAGCGAGCAUGCCUUUUUGCCUGAUCGGAACGGGUGCAGUACAUUGUUGCAAGCAAGCGUUUGAGAAGUGCAGGGGUAGAUAAGUGUGUAUUGCAGCGGGUGAAUCCGAUUAUCCAAAAUUAAUCCAGUUGAGGUAAUCCAAGUGCUAAAACAAGAAGAAAUGUACAUCUACUUGCUCACUUGGAAAAAGAAGGAAACCAGAAUCACAUUAUUUGUGGGACGAAUGCAUCCCUAACUGUGGUUCAAAUUGACGCACAACGGAAAUGGACCUCUCUUGAUUUUCAAAAACAAAACAUUCCUCUUGGUGGAAGUGUGUGGAACCCCGUGGACCCGGCCGAUGCUGCCAUGCUGGAGGGACAGGCCGACAGGGAGAGGUGGCCAGGCUUCUGAUUUUCCUUGCUGCAGCUGCUCCUCGGCACUCCGCCUCGCCCGGCCGCGCUCCUCGGCCCGCGCGGGCUGCCGCCGCUGCUCGGGCUGCACCUUCGCCUUCCACCAGCGACCGCGCUGGCGGCGCUAGGACUACACAACCUCUGCACCGGCGCCAGCAUCCAGCCGGGCCGCGACGGCGACUACAACGAGGUCGACGGCCACAAGACCAACAACGACGACAACAUCGGCGACAAGGGCAGCGCCAUCCCCGUGCGCAAGAAGGACGAGAGCAGUGCCGGGAAGAUCAAGAACGCCAAGGACGGUGUCGAGAAAGAGGGCAGCUUCUAGCCGGGCCGCGACGGCGACGACAACAAGGCCAACCACGUCGACGGCCACAGCGUCGAGAAGCCCGACGGCGCCGGCACCGAGCGCGCCGGGAAGAUCAAGAACGCCAAGGACGGAGCCGAGAAAGAGGCCAGCAUCCAGCUGGGCCGCGACGGCAAUGACAACAAGGCGCCGAGAAAGAGGACAAGAAUGCCGGCAGCGAAUUUGAGAUACUAAAGGAGAUGAUCGACGAGCUCGGGUAACACCUCUUCCGAUUUCUGGGGCUAUAGUAAAAAUUUAUGUCUAACCUACUUACUAAAAUUAUCUAUCUGAUCAAAUAUUAUAGGAAAAAGUGUUAGGAUGGGGAUGCACUAAUCGAUUUGCAUAUGAGUGACACUUCCAAAAUACUUAAGAGAUAAAAAAAUACAUAUUUCCCCCAAUUACAUGAUUUUGUAUAUUACUCCAAUACCCCAAGUCUCAAAUAUCGAUGGAUCCUUUCUUAGUUGACUGUCUCUCAUCUAACUAUCUAAUCUUUAUUAAUUAUACUACGUUCUGCAUAUAUAUGCUAGUAAUUGGCCUUGCUCACUAUUGAGAAAUCGGCUAGGAGGGAGGGAAGCACCUUUAGUUAUAGGUGCUUAUGAUCAUUGUGGUGUUGCCAUGUGGCAACUUCCACACUCUUCAAUACAAAAUAUCCUAACUCUAGAACCCUCCUCAUCCUUAUCUAGUUUCUUAGAUUUCUACCAUGCUAAAAUAUCUAGUUUUAGAAUAUUCUACACUUCACCAUGAAGCAUGGCAAUUAUAGCUCAUACAUUCUCUCUAAUUUUCUAGAACCUUCUUACCUUGCAAAUACUCUAAGGAUAAGAUCAUGGCAAUUAUGGCUCAUGCAUUCUCUCUAAUUUUCUAGAACCUUCUUACCUUGCGAAUACAAAAUUAGAGAGAAUGCAUGAGCCAUAAUUGCCAUACUUCAUGGUGAAGUGUAGAACAUUCUAAAACUAGAUAUUUUAGCAUGGUAGAAAUCUAAGAAACUAGAUAAGGAUGAGGAGGGUUCUAGAGUUAGGAUAUUUUGUAUUGAAGAGUGUGGAAUGGCAACACCACAAUGAUCAUAAGCACCUAUAAAUAGAGGUGCUUCCCUCCCUCCUAGUCGAUUUCUCAAUAGUGAGCAAGGCCAAUUACUAGCAUAUACAUGCAAAACGUAGUAUAAUUAAUAAAGACUAGAUAGUCAGAUGAGAGACAGUCAACUAAGAAAGGAUCCAUCGAUAUUUGAGACUUGGGGUAUUGGAGUAAUAUACAAAAUCAUGUAAUUGGGGGGAAUAUGUAUUUUUUUUAUCUCUUAAGUAUUUUGGAAGUGUCACUCAUAUGCAAAUCGAUUAGUGCAUCUCCAUCCUAACACUUUUUCCUAUAAUAUUUGAUCAGAUAGAUAAUUUUAGUAAGUAGGUUAGACAUAAAUUUUUACCAUAGCCCCAGAAAUCGGAAGCGGUGUUACCCGAGCUCGUCGAUCAUCUUCUUUAGUAUCUCAAAUUCGCUGCCGGCAUUCUUGUCCUCGUUUAUAUGUGCCUCCUCUAAUCCUGCAGCAACGAAGCCCGGGUGGGGCGCGUCACCCAGACCAUGGUGCUGAGUAUAAUGCUACUCGUGCAGCUCAUGGCAGUGUGCUCCUUGGCGGUGUACUACGGCUCCUCUAUCGCUAUAGAGAGGGCGCACGCCAAAAUGAUGGAGUUGUCGAAGGAUGAAAGCACGGGCCAGAUUAUGGUAAAUAUGCUAGUGUCUUUCAUAUGUUCUUCGUGCACGGCGGUCGGGGCGACGGUCGGGAUGGCGGUCACCGCGGUCGGGACGGUGGCUACCGCGGUCGGGACGGCUGUCGGGGCAGCGGUCGGGACGGCGGUCACCGCGGUCGGGACGGCGGUCGGGGCGGCGGUCGGGACGGCGGCUACCGCGGUCGGGACGGCGGUCACCGCGGUCGGGACCGGAGCGGCUGCGGCGUGGAACGCGGUGGCGUUCUGGAGGAGGUGGGGCCAGAAGAAGGAGGAGUAGGAGGAGAAGGAGGAAGAUGAACGCGGUGGCAUAUGUAUCGGUUAAACUAAAUAACUAAUGCAGUAAGAAAAGGGAUGUUUGGGUGUCGUGGUACUGAUUAUUGGUGGCAUAUGUAUUGUGUCCUGGUACUUGAUGAUAUCUUAGCUUUCUGUAUUGUGUCUUGGCACUGUGAUAUCUUAGCUUUCUGUAUUGUGUCUUGGUUCGUCGUUCCAUUGACCGAGAUGAACGCAAGAAGUGCCAGCUAUGCGGCUAUGUCCGCCGGAUGGAUGGCUGCCUCGUGCAGCGGCAAUCCACGUGACACUGAUAGGAGGGGACGCGCAUGAGUCUUCGGAUCGCCAUUUCGCUGACAGAACAAUAAGAAAAAAAAUACUUGAGCGGUUGGCGACACCGUUGUAAAAGAUCGAUCCCAGCAAAACCUGCACGUCCUGCUUGCAUGGUCUUGCUGUCACCAUUCAUGCAUUCAAAAAUACAUAAUUGAGAAUGGAAAGCAGGAGUGCUGGUGUUAGAGAAAACCAUUGCAUGCAGGUUUAUCUUGUCGUGCAGUUCCAUAAUUUCCUACACCACCAAACUGACAUAUUGCUUUCUAUUUGAGCAAACACCAGAACUAAGGCGCGCGCACAGUUUUCUCUUUGUAAUCUUCUAUCAAACAAUGAAGAUCAAAACAUGAGCCCAUGAAUGCAACUAUAACAUUGUACGGAGCAGGUGAAUGGGGAAUCCACAUGGAGAUUGCUGCAUACUUAUUUAUGCACGUGCUGUAUAUUUGAUGUAAGUUAUCUAGCAGCUUCAUGUGUCACGAAAGUGUACAGCACAUAAGGAUUGAAAGGAAAACGAUAGAACAAAGAAAUUAAUCGGGCGUCAAUUAACUGAACACCAUGUUAGUGAAAGGAAAUUGCAACCCUUAAUAAUCAGAAAGAACAGCUAGACCCUAGCCUAAGGAAAUGUUAACAGAGGCGAGAUAACACCAGUGCAAAAGAAUAUCAUAACAAGAAACAACAUUCAGGAUAUGCAAAGCAGGCGAGGGGGUGCAAAUUUUGCAGAUAAGAUGAAAACAUUGUCAUAUUUGAUUUGAGAUAUUUGGCUAAGAAUCAGUCGAUGAUUCAAAUGUUAAAUUGUAACAAAAAGUACAAUGAUUUUGAUUACUGAAAAAAAAAUAUUCUGGACAGGCAGAGAUUUGGUGCUAACUACCAGGCAAACCCAACCUAUGAAAGAACAGACCUUUCAUUAGUGUAGUAUUUGCCUGAUUGUGCUAGAUGGUGAUUCAAAUAAGAGGUUCGAUAAACUUGCACAUUCCAUUUUAACCCUUGUAUACGUUUUGAACAAAUUACUUCACUGACAAUGCAGGAUAAAGAAGGAAAACAGGCAUAUGCUGGCUGUAUAGAAUAUAUUCUGAGUGUAUAGUAGAUCAACCAGGAAAACAGGACUCCUGGCGCUAAAGGACACCAGUGAAUGCUAUUAACGUAUGUCUCGGCCCUCUUGCUUUGAUAAUUAAGUAAUUAAUAAUAGGAAGAACCCAAAAAGAAAGGGAGAAGCUAAAACUGCAGUGAAAUUUCGCCUUUGAAUGAAGUGCCCAUUUCAGUUUGAAAUAUUAACAGAACACAAGGAAAAAGGAAUCGGUGCAACAAAGUAUUGCAAAAGCACCUCUAAUCGGCAUGGAAUCCCUGUGUAACUGCCUGUCUGGCCAGGGCCCACCUCGGUGCUGCCACCAAUACCCCUUGCGUGAAAACCUUGCGUGAAUGCCUACAGCUCGUUCGCUUGGCUGCUGCGUUCGGCUGGCUGGCUGCUGCGGCAGAGAGCUGCUGCGUGCUGCCUGCACACAAGUGUAGUGAUUAGUGAAGGGAUAUAUGACAUGCAGAAACUAAGAGGGCGUUUUCUUCCACUGACUUAUUUUUAGCACGUGUCAUCGAAUGUUUAGAUACUAAUUAGGAGUAUUAAACGUAGACUAUUUACAAAACCCAUUACAUAAGACGAAUCUAAACGGCGAGACGAAUCUAUUAAGCCUAAUUAAUCCAUCAUUAGCAAAUAUUUACUGUAGCAACACAUUAUCAAAUCAUGGACUAAUUAGGCUUAAUAGAUUCGUCUCGCCGUUUAGAUUCGUCUUAUGUAAUGGGUUUUGUAAAUAGUCUACGUUUAAUACUCCUAAUUAGUAUCUAAACAUUCGAUGUGCCGGGUGCUAAAAAUAAGUCAGUGGAAGAAAACGGGGCCUAAUUAACAAGAUGUGGACACAAGGAGAAUUACUAUUUAUUUACUAGCAUACAUCAUUGCAAGCAAUUCAUCUUAUGGAACCGGUGAUCCAAGGAAGACGUAGCAUAAUUUUGGGGUUCCAUUUUUCAUCGUUGCCCGCUGUAGAUUGCACUCCUACUGACUUGGGCAAGGUGAUGGAACAUGGAAGAAGAGCCUGGAACCUGUGGAGGUGGAGCCGACCCGACCUGACCGGUGCAGGAGGGAGCGGGAGAGGCCAGCAGCGUGGCAGGCCAAGUACACUGGCCUCCGGCCUCCGACGGUGUGGAGGCCGUGUCAGCAUGGUGCUGACGUGGCAUGAGGCUUGUUGCGCCAUCCCACCUGGUGCGGCAGCACCAGCCAUACAGGAGCGUGCUGGUUUCCCUCCUCCUCCCUUCCUUUCUUCUUCCUCCAGUAACCUCGAGCCCGACUGACUCCCUCACCGCCGGCUGCCGCCACCCCCCAAUCCGCCCCAAAUCCGGCCAUUUCAGUUGGGGAAACUAGUUGGAAUUGUUCACCGCUUCGUUUGGAAGGUAUCCCCCAACUUUUUUCCUUGUUUUACCGUUCCAUUUGCUAGAUCGGAGGAUAUUUAGGUGACCUAGGGUUAGGUUGUUGAUUUUAAAUUUUGAUUGUGUAGUGUAUAUGAUAUUGGUAGGGUUUUUUUUGCAAUAUAUCCAAUUGAUGUCUAUAGUUGGUACGGUAAAGUUGAUGGAUUACGUGUCUAAAGUUUAUUUGUGUAUUAUUUUUUGGUCACUUGAUGUGUAGGUGAGAUGACGUCUGGGUGUGAAUACAAACGGCGUAGAUGGUACGUGCAUUACAUGGGCGAGUCCAAUGCGGAUGCUUCCGUACCUCCUGCCGUUCCGGUACCUCUUUGUAGAUGUGGCGUGCAAGCCGAGGUGAAACAAUCAAGGCACCCAAAGACAGCCGGAAGAACCUUCUAUGUGUGCAAGUGGAAGUUUGAUCUAAUGCCUACCGUACCUUGUGAUUUCUUUCAAUAGAUAGAUGGACCCGACAAAUAUGAUCCUAGGAUCCGCCUAUUCCCAUACGAUAGCACAGAGCUUAAACCAUACUAUCAGUUUAGGCGUUGGGUUCCUCUUCCACCAAACCCACCUAGAAUGACUGAGGAGGAGAAGCAGGAGGCUGCUUGUAGGCGUGUGAGGGAUUCUCUCAUGUGCAAGUGUGGAGUUGCUGCUAAGCUUAUGCGUCCUAACUUAGGGGUUCCACCUAAGUUCACCUCAUUCUUUUGAUGCUCGCUAACGACCCAUGUAAGUUUAGUAGGAGAAUGUUAGUGUCAUGUGUAGGAAGUAGUGAUAGUUUUCUUGAUAUGCACUAUGUAAUCUUGUCACCAGUUUUAUGCAGGAUGGGUGGCCGCUAUGUGAUUUCAAUGAGUAUAUCUAUGGGCCUAAGCCGAUGUGGCCAACGGAGGAGCAAGUGCGGGACUUCGAGAGUGGAAAGGCACUAUGGUCAUGUGUGUCCUCUCCUAGUGAUAGAUGCAAGUGUAGUAUAUUGGCAACACAAGGUGUGGUGCCUUCUAAGCUUGGAUAUGGUUCGUUCUGUGGCAAUGCAUGUCGAGUACAGGGUGAGUAACUAUUCAUCUCUUUUGUUGAUUGUUUAUCCUAUUACAUGUGACAUGUGUAGCCAUUGUUUCAAAUUUGUGACAAUAUGAACAUCUUGUUGCAGGAGGGAAGGACAUGUGAUUGGGAAGACUUUUCUGGUCAUCAUAAUUUAUUGUUAAAGUUGGGUCGUACAUCAGAACCAUGGAAGUCAGGACAAACACAAGAACUGAUAGAAAAGAUUAGGAAGGAAAAUAUAGUGACUUGCUUUGGGGGAAAAUAUACCAAGACAUGGUUCGGGAUACUAGAGUGAAGCCUGAAGGAUUUUAUGUGAAGGAAAAUAUUAUUAAGUAUUGAAGGCAGAACAGAAUGAAGUAUCCACGCCCUCUAACUGAAGAUCAGAAGAGAGAAAAUAGGAGGAAGUUGCAGGAAAAGAGGGAGUUGGAGAAACAAAGGUUGAGGGAGGAGAGAGAUCGCAUAGGUUUUGUUGUUGAUCCAAAUGCAAAAUACACUAAGGGUUCAUGGGAAGAAUACUUGCAGCAGGUUAGGGCAAGGAAGAGCAGGAUUAAAAUGGAAGAGUUACAAGAAAGGGCGUAAGAGGCGCAUAUGCAGGCGAUGAAGGCACUUGUUGCCGAUUUACCUGUUGGUAAGGUUAAUGUGGAUAAGAAAGGGAAGGGAGUUGUUAUUGUGUGGGAUGAUGAUGAUGAUGAUGAGUUAGUAUGUGAAUGUGACUCUGACUAAAUAAUGUGUUCAUUGAGUUGCUUCAUGUUUCUCUUUAGUUGUGAAAACUAUGUUCAUUUGUGAGAGAACUAUGUUUGUUGUGGAGAAGUACAUUUAUUGUGAGAAAUAUGUUUAUUUGUUAAGAACAAUGUAUUAUGUUAUUUGCAUUGAGUGCGCAGGUGUGGUCGUGGCAGGGAUGAGCUCUUUUGAAGUGAUGAUAUGCCACCGUGUUUUUAGGCACUUCUGGAGAGUUUGGACGAUAGUAGCCAGCCAAAAGUAAUUGUCACCUUUAUCCACCACCAGAUAGAGAGAAAGAGCGCUUGCAGCACGCACCCACCAUUUCCGUGCGAAUCUCCUCUUCUUAUAACCCCACCUCGUCUUCGUCUCCCCCUCCAGCAACCACCCUCUCACUAGCGGCCAAACCAAAACAAAACCCUAGUCCCAAACCCAUCUCGCCGCCGAACCUCCCAAAAAUCCAAAUGGCCGCCGUUUGGGUCGCGUUGGCCGCCGCGCACCGGCGUGUCGCUCCCAUCGCUGUCGCGGCGGGGGGGGGGGGGGGGGGGGGGGGCCCUCUCCCGCUCCCGCUCCCGCUCCCGUGGUGGCACUUCUUGCCCCGCGCGUGGUUCCCGCUGCUCGGGGGGGGGGGGGGGGGGGGGGGGGGGGGGGGGGGGCUCUCGCGGUGGCACUCCUUGGCCCGCACAUGGCUCCCGUUGCUCAGGGGGUCUCUCCUGCGGCCGCGCUCCAUGACCCCGCUCCUCCAUCUCGCGCGGCGGCGCUCCUCUGCCCGCACGACCUCAUACGCCUUCGCGUGGUAUCGGGGACCCUGCUGGGACUACGCCACCUCUUCACCGGGGCCACCAUCCAGCCAGACCGCGACGAAGCCCGGUGCACAACCGCCAACACCACCCGCGCGGACGCCGCCGUCGAGGACUACGCCACGGCCAAGGACGUCGACGAGAUCCACGACAAGGACGUCGACGAGAUCCACGACAAGGACGUCCUCGAGCAAGCUCGGGCCUCCGACCUCAUCAGCCGGUCCGAUCUCGCGGCGGCGCUGCUCGGCCUGCGCGUGGCUCCCGUUGCUCGGGGGGCCUCUCCCGCAGCGGUGGUCCACGCCCCGCACGGUCCUCUGUCUCGCGCGGCGGUGCUCCUCCACCCACGUGACCUCCUCCACCUCCGCGUGGUAUCAGGGACCCCGCUGGGACUACGCCACCUCUUCCUCGGGGCCAGAAUCCAGCCGGACCACGACGAAGCCCGACGCACAACCGCCGACACCACCCGCGCAGACGCCGCUGUCGAGGACUACGCCACGGCCAAGGACACCGACGAGAGUGCGGCGAGCACGUCCUCGAGCAAGCUGGGGCCUCCGACCUCAGCGGCUGGUCCAAUCCCGCGGCGGCGCUGCUCGGCCCGCGCGUGGCUCCCGUUGCUCGGGGGGCCUCUCCCGCGGCGGCGCUCCACGGCCCCUGCGGUCCUCCAUCUCGUGCGGUGGCGCUCCUCCGCUCGCGCGACCUCCUCUGCCGCAGACGAGGUGAAGGUUGGUCAUCAAUAAUAAUGGACUCGCGUCAGCAAGCUAGCUCCAACAGCAACAAAGCCUUUUGUUUAUAGAGUCAUGCAGAUGCAGAGUAGUCUUGUCUGGGUCACAUCUGCACCGAGUGCAGGGAAGGAAAGGCUGCACCGCGGUGAUUAGAGGGUGGACAGGGGUAGCCCAUCACCAACUCGUUCCUGCGCAACUGGCAGGGCUGGCUUUGGUUCACCCUUGGGCCUUGUUUAGUUGCCCAACUUUGGACAACCAAAAUUACUGUAGCGUAACUGUAGCAUUUCAUUUGUAUUUGUGAAUUAUUGUCCAAAUAUUGACUAAUUAGGCUCAAAAGAUUCGUCUCGCAAAGUACAACAAAACUGUGCAAUUAGUUUUUGAUUUCGUCUACAUUCAGUACUCCAUGCAUGUACCGCAAGUUUGAUGUGACGAGAAAUCUUCUUUUUACAUAGCGCUAAAGUUGGAAUUUUGGGGAACUAAACAGGGCUUGGUUCGUCGUUCCAGGGUGGCCCCAAAGCGAAAUUGACCGAGAUGAACGCAAGAAGUGCCAGCUAUGCGGCUAUGUCCGCCGGAUGGAUGGCUGCCUCGUGCAGCGGCAAUCCACGUGACACUGAUAGGAGGGGACGCGCAUGAGUCUUCGGAUCGCCAUUUCGCUGACAGAACAAUAAGAAAAAAAAAUACUUGAGCGGUUGGCGACACCGUUGUAAAAGAUCGAUCCCAGCAAAACGUGCACGUCCUGCAUGCAUGGUCUUGCUGUCACCAUGCAUGCAUUCAAAAAUACGUAAUUGAGAAUGGAAAACAGGAGUGCUGGUGUUAGAGAAAACCAUUGCAUGCAGGUUUAUCUUGUCGUGCAGUUCCAUAAUUUCCUACACCACCAAACUGACAUAUUGCUUUCUAUUUGAGCAAACACCAGAACUAAGGCGCGCGCACAGUUUUCUCUUUGUAAUCUUCUAUCAAACAAUGAAGAUCAAAACUUGAGCCCAUGAAUGCAACUAUAACAUUGUACAAGGAGCAGGUGAAUGGGGAAUCCACAUGGAGAUUCGCAAGGUAAGAAGGUUCUAGAAAAUUAGAGAGAAUGCAUGAGCCAUAAUUGCCAUACUUCAUGGUGAAGUGUAGAACAUUCUAAAACUAGAUAUUUUAGCAUGGUAGAAAUAUAAGAAACUAGAUAAGGAUGAGGAGGGUUCUAGAGUUAGGAUAUUUUGUAUUGAAGAGUGUGGAAUGGCAACACCACAAUGAUCAUAAGCACCUAUAAAUAGAGGUGCUUCCCUCCCUCCUAGCCGAUUUCUCAAUAGUGAGCAAGGCCAAUUACUAGCAUAUACAUGCAAAACGUAGUAUAAUUAAUAAAGACUAGAUAGUCAGAUGAGAGACAGUCAACUAAGAAAGGAUCCAUCGAUAUUUGAGACUUGGGGUAUUGGAGUAAUAUACAAAAUCAUGUAAUUGGGGGGAAUAUGUAUUUUUUUUAUCUCUUAAGUAUUUUGGAAGUGUCACUCAUAUGCAAAUCGAUUAGUGCAUCUCCAUCCUAACACUUUUUCCUAUAAUAUUUGAUCAGAUAGAUAAUUUUAGUAAGUAGGUUAGACAUAAAUUUUUACCAUAGCCCCAGAAAUCGGAAGCGGUGUUACCCGAGCUCGUCGAUCAUCUUCUUUAGUAUCUCAAAUUCGCUGCCGGCAUUCUUGUCCUCGUUUAUAUGUGCCUCCUCUAAUCCUGCAGCAACGAAGCCCGGGUGGGGCGCGUCACCCAGACCAUGGUGCUGAGUAUAAUGCUACUCGUGCAGCUCAUGGCAGUGUGCUCCUUGGCGGUGUACUACGGCUCCUCUAUCGCUAUAGAUAGGGCGCACGCCAAAAUGAUCGAGCUGUCCGAGGAUGAAAGCACGCGCCAGAUUAUGGUAAACAUGCUAAUGUCUUUGAUACGUUCUUCGUGCACGGCGGUCGGGGCGGCGGUCGGGACGACGGUCACCGCGGUCGGGACGACGGCUACCGCGGUCGGGACGGCUGUCGAGGCGGCGGUCGGGACGGCGGUCACCGCGGUCGGGACGGCGGUCGGGGCGGCGGUCGGCGCGGUCGGGAUGGCAGUCACCGCGGUCGGGAUAGGAGCGGCUGCGGCGUGGAACGCGGUGGCGUUCUGGAGGAGGUGGGGCCAGAAGAAGGAGUAGGAGGAGGACGAGGAAGAUGAACGCGGUGCAAAAGAAUAUCAUAAUAAGAAACAACAUUCAGAAUAUGCAAAGCAGGCGAGGGGGUGCAAAUUUUCUCCGAUCUCGUCUUUGAGCCCUGGGCUGGCCCAGAGGUGCAACAUGCUACCAAACUACCCGAUAGUCAUUUAUAUUUCUGCUUGCGUGCUGUUGUUCUCCUGAUUUUUGCAAGAGUUACCCAAUCAUGACAUUUAAACUCGUUAUUGUAUUUCCUAGCGUCUAUUUCUCAUGCAAAAUGUGUCAGGUUUUUCACUCAAAAUUGCCCCAUUUUCUCGUGAUCACGUUACGCUAGUCGUGUGUCCGUGCAUCACAUCCAUGCUUUACAGCGCAAAAAGUACGCACGCAUUUCAAGAUUUCUAAGUUAAAUAUAUAUUAAUCCACUCGCACAAGUCAUUGGCAAAAACGGCAAGUAUCCAGUUACAAAGUCUUGGUGCUGAAGUCAUCUCAUAGAACAUAGAUAAAUACAAUAAUCGAGCCGACAUAGCUAAAGACGGCAGGCAAACCCAAUCAUCUGCACACAAAACUACCUAAGCUUUUAUUUCUCUCC
Molecule: long non-coding RNA, 67216 nt
Filed under: Setaria viridis
Lineage: Eukaryota; Viridiplantae; Streptophyta; Magnoliopsida; Poales; Poaceae
Description: long non-coding RNA (SVIR_LNC001222)
Source: RNAcentral